UCCCCUUUCCUAGCAGAUUUUGCGCAAUCAAAGAACGAAGAGGAGGAAAAAGAUGUUCUAGAGACAUUUAGAAAGGUGCAUGUCAACAUUCCCCUCCUUGAUGCCAUAAAGCAAAAUCCCGAAGUAUGCCAAGUGUUUAAAGAAGCUUUGUACAACAAAGAAACGUGUCCGGGAGAAAGAGGUGGUACAUGUACGUGAGAAUGUCUCCGCCAUCUUGCAACAUAAACUACCCCCCAAAUGCAAAGACCCGGAAGUUUUACAAUUCCAUGUGUCAUUGGUAAUACCCGUUUCAAAUCUACCAUGCUAGAUUUAGGAGCAUCUAUUAAUGUUAUGCCAUAUUCUGUGUAUGCAUCUAUGAAUCUAGGAGCACUUAAACAUGAUGGUGUAAUCAUACAAUUGGCCGAUAGAUCUAACGCUUAUCCAAAGGGAGUUUUGGAAGACGUUUUAGUGCAGGUUGAUCAUUUAGUCUUCCCAGCGGAUUUCUAUGUCCUCGAAAUGGAUGAAUCAGACCAUGCCCCUUCAUUGCCCAUCCUCCUUGGAAGGCCAUUCAUGAAAACGGCUCAAACGAAGAUUGACGUGGCCAAAGGAUUAGUCACUAUGGCAUUUGGUGGUGACAUGAUUAGUUUUAAAAUUUCUGAAUCCAUUGAGACUCCUAAUAUUGUUCAUUCUUUUGUGCCAUUGGUAAAAUUGAAAAGAUAAGGACCGGACCAUUCAGCACCAAGCACGAAGGAUGCAUCAGAACAUUGCAAGACGAGGGAAUUGGAGUGGAGUACAAGGACCAUACGGCCACUGCCCUCAAAAUGCUCAAAGUGGCCGAAAGCACCAUGGGGAAGAAUGUUCACAUUGCUGCCACUUCAUCACAUCACAUAGGUAAGCCACCUAAUCCAAAUCCAAUGCCAUUUAAAGUUGAUAGGUGGUUCCCUUCUUUGGUGCAGGUACCUAAGCAAAUCCCCGAUGGUGGGCGUAUGAACAUGAACCUUAGACAACACAACGCACCCAUCAACAAACAUCACUAUCCAUUUCCGUUCAAGGAUGUAAUCUAUGAGAACUUUGUGGAGCAUGUUGUGGAGGAUAUCCCACUGCAUGCCGUGGGUUCCAAGGAGAAGUGAAGGUGUUCAUCGUUCGGCUGGAAGACGUUAAAGCAAGCGCUUUAAGGGAGGCAACCCAUUUAUUCUGCUUGAUUGUCAAUUUUAUUACUUGUUUAAUUAUUUUUGGUUAUGAUUUUCUAUUUUGAAAUAUUAACAAAUAUGCAAGGGAUUUUUGACAUUAAACUUCAUGAAAUGAACAGGAAUCUGGGAAAUAAAGAAACAUAACAUAAUACAAGAGGAAGAGCUUUCACAAAGGCUGCUUGGGCGGAGUUGCAGUAGUCGGCGGAGUCGCAGUAGUUGGCGGAGUCUCAGCAGUCGGUGGGGCCACGGAAGGAGGAGGUAUCAGAGGUUGAUCAGAUCAGUUGGAGCUUCACUGCGCGGUGCCGCCCCAGAAUUAAGGCAGAUGCUGUUGGAACAAACCCACAAACCUUCGGUGAUCAAGUAAAAUCUGACGAUCAGUUUCCUGCAGCUGGUCAAUUUUCCUCUUCAUGUUUGUGGCAUAACUGUGUGCAAGCUUAUGCAAUUGUUUAUUUUCAUGCUUGAGUCCUCUAAUCUCCUCUUUGAGACUCUGUAUUUCAGCCACCAACGAUUCAACAUGACGGGUUCGAGCAAAUAGGCGUUGGGCCAUGUUGGACACAGAACCCGCACACUGCACGCUAAGAGCCAGAGACUCCUAACGCCAAUUCAUCAGACCGUCUAGCGAGCAGUCUGUUAUCUCUGGGGGUGACAAGGUUCCGGGCCACCACCGCAGCGGUCAUGUCAUUUUUCAUCACCGAAUCCCCAACGGUGAGGGAACCGGUAGGGGAUAUGAAGGAUGGGCGCCAUAUGUUGUCUGGUGAAGGCGGAGCUGCCUCUUCACCAAUGUUCAAGUCAAAACGACGAUCGGAAGGGCCAGACAUUUUUCAGAGGUGGUGAAGAAAGAAGAGAGUCGGACUGAUUAAGAUUUUGGAAGUGCAAGAAGGGAGUGUUUACAGGAGGGAGCUCAAGUGUGUUGUGGAACAAAAUUAACGCCUCUAUAAAAAAGAAAUCAAAAGAGGCGCUCCUCAGAAAUCGAAGAAGCGUCCUCUCGCAAAUCGAAGAGUCGAGAGGGAUUCUUUCUCAAAAAGAGGCGUUUCAUUUCUCAAAAAAUGGGCUUGCUCAGAAACCACGAGCCGAACCCCGGAUUUCAAAAGAUCAAUUUGUCCAGACGUGUCGUCACUCGUCACAUGCAACUUGCAGCUUUGCGGAAAUUACGGGCAGCUUUGUCAGAAAGCGCGUAAUUUGUACUAUUCAUCCAUCCACCGGCUGCCGACAAUGAGUGAGAGAAUAGUUCCGGUUGUGAAGAAAAGCCCUAUAAGUAUCUACCUUCGCUUUCCACAGCAAAGGCACACCCUCUCAGCACUUCUUCAUCUCUCUGAAAUGGCUUUCCAACAAACCCUCUCGAGUCACUCAGUGUUCCUUAUUCCCUGGGAUACCCCUGCAAACAACCCAUCCAGAGCACAAGUAUUUCAUAUCAUAAAGGUUGAGAGCACGAGUAUCUCAUAUCAUGCUUUCUCCAUGUCCUUUCUCCAGCCAGCACCUGCUCUCGAGUACUCAUCAUCUUAUGUUUCCGCUUCGUCUCUCACGCAUAAGGGAAGUGAAGAUGAUACCUCGAAGCAUGUGGAGACAACGUGCUGAUUCAUCCUCAACUAGGGACAAGGAGAAAGAGAGCAAGAGGUGGGGGCACUUGGAAAGAUUGAAGAAAGAAACAGACCAACACCUUUGCCUCGUGCCUGCCCACCGUGCAGAAGAAACAAGCAGAGAAGAAUGCAGACUGCACUCUGAUAUUCCCCGCUCAGAAUUCCAAACCAGUUCAAGAUCAAAGCUGUGGAAAGUCAACAAGAUCAACUAUCUCCAAAACCAGAUUUGCGUUCUUAAACUCUACUCUGUCUGGUUUUUACUUUGCCAUAUUUGUCAUGUUUAUUUGUCGUUUGUUAUUUGCUUGUUUUUGGUGUGAGUAUAUGCUUGAAACAUUGAGGACAAUAUUUGAUUUAAGUGUGGGGGGGUAACUAGUGUUUUGCAUAAAAUUCGAAGAAAAUUAUCACCCAUUAUUUCUAGUGUUGUUCCUUACUGUUUUAAGUAUUUUUUUUAAGUUGUUUUGGAGUAUUCAGUGUGUUUUGACAUAAAAAUCCGAAAAUUCAUAAAAAUUUGAAAAAUUGUUUUUGAAAAUCCCAAAAAGAGUUGUUUUUGUGUGCUUAUUUGUGUCUUAGGGUACCUUCCAACACAAUGAUGAAGAUUCAGUUUGUAAUUGCAUGACUGUUAAAGAGAGUUAUAAACAUGGAUGAAAGUUUGAUUUACUCUUUAUUUAUGCAUGAUUGUGGUUAUAACUUAUGAAAUCACAUGUAAUCAUAAAAGAAAAAAAAAUAAUUUUUUUUGUAACAUGCUUGAAGGAAAGAACUCAAACUAACGCUACAACCUUGUGAGACUUGAGCCUAAAUGUUUAUUUGGAGAGUUAAAAUCUGUGCAUUAUUGUUUUCUAAAGUCGUUGCAUGAUCUCAUUAUUCUUUGCUUGGUUAUUACUUAGAAGGCGUUUCAUCAUUUAGUUCCAAAUGCUAGAACUCAUGCCUAUUUCAUUCAAAGCAUGCUAUUGAUUUGCAUAACACAUAUUCAAGAUGAAGUUGUGUAGUUACCACCACCAAAGCCAAACUGCCAUGUAUCCCAUAUUGUUAUAUGUUUAAGUUAACCCCAUUGAGCCUUGAUAGCCUACAUUCUUUGUUAAACCACAUUAUCCUUACCUAUCCUAGUUUAGGACCAUCCACCCUUGUUCUUGAAGCAUAGUGAAGUAUGAGUCAAAUUGAAUUCCUUUUGAUUAAUGUAUGGCAGAAAACAAGUGUGGGGGAAGUGAUUCUUGUGUGUGUGUGUAUGCCAAAAUCAUUCAUAAGGCACGAGUAGAAAAGAAAGAUUCGUGAAAAAUAGAAUGAAAAGAAGAUGAAAAGAAAAGGAGUUGAAAAAUAUGUGAAAAAGAGUUUUAAAGUGUUGCUUGUUGAAGAAAGGGUCCAAAACAUUGAAUUCGGCCCUAAAUAUUGCUUGAAUCUUCCCUUCGUGUUUAAAAGUUGAUUACUGCAAUCUAAGUGAAUUCUAAGUUUCCAUUUCAUUACUUUUCUUGCUAUUGCUUUAAGAACGUUUGUUAUCCCUAUCCUUCAUUUGUUAGCCAACACCCCAAGCCCGUUACAACCUUUGACUUCAAUCUUGAGUGUUAUGCGUUUCAAUUUGUGGAGUUUGAAUUUGGUAUGAGCAUAUGGUGUCACUGGUUCUCGCGUCUAAGUAAUAGCAUUCCAUUCAUGAGAUCAUAUCUAAACAUGGUUAUUAACUCCAGAAAUUGCUUUCUUUGUGAUACAUAUAUGUGAGCAUUCGUUUUCAUAUCUACAUCAAUCUUCUCACAUAUAACUAGUAUAGGGUGUGUAGUUGGAAAAUCUGAGUGAAAAUUGAGUGCAUAUCUUGUAAGGAAUUGAGCGAAUUCUCUAAGGCAUGUUACUACAUCAAAAACAUUGUUUUAAUUGAUUAAUUGUGAACUAGUAAGUGGUGACUAUGAUUAAGUAUGUGCUUAAGUGUAAAGAUGACUCAAAUCUGUGGGGAUAAUGAUUUUUAACAUGUCAUGUGCAUUGGAAAUCCUUGAGGCAAAUGUUGGAAGGUUUAGGUUGUGUUUUAUUUGUUUUGUUUCGUUUUAUUUCUUUGUUUUGCUCGAGGACUAGCAAAAGCUAAGUGUGGGGGAAUUUGAUAGGAGCAUAUUUAUGCGACUUAGUUGGCUUGUUCUUGUGCAUUUAUGUCGUGUUUCCUUAGUUAUUUUAAUGUUUAAAGUCAUUUUCGUGUGUUUUCAGACUCUAAGUACAAAGUAUGCAAGAAGAUGCAUUUUGGAGGCCUUUGGAGCAUGUUUCGAGCUUGGAAUGGAUAGCAAAUGCAUGGGCCAAGUGGAUGGACGAAUUUGAGAACUAAAGAGGCCACGAAUAUGAAGAAUUAUGGUCCAAAAGAUAAAGAAAACAGCCCAAAAAUCUGUCACCCCAACUUGCAUUCCUUGCCAUGCAAACCACAUAGAAUUCCCUUUGGAUUCCAUGCCAUGCUUGAUCACUCUUGUCCCCUACAUAAUUUCUAAUUUCAUGCUUCAAUUCAUUUAAUUAUUACACUCAAUUGCUUGAUACCUCUUGUUCCCUUCACUCAUUAGAUUUUAGACAACAUUUACAUCCAUUACAUGCACCAAUUGAUGCUCCAUCAUUCACAUUUGGAAUCCCAUGCCUUGUGUACCACAUGUUGCUGCACCUUUGACCCAUUUAUUGACACAUUUUCACCUCCCUUUCCAUCUCUAUGCAAUGUACACAAUCAUUCAUGCCCCCUAGCUACAAGACCACUCCAUUUUACCCUUCACACUUUGCAUCAUCACUUCAUUUUCACCCUUGGACCAUUGCACACCACACACACAAAUUGCCAUGCAUUUCAUCCUUAACCUAACUUGAUUUUCUAAGGUUUUUGGGGCCUAUAAAUACAUGUUUACACCCCUUGGCCAAAGAAUAAUCCCCCAUAUUCAUUAUUUUAUCACGGAAAUUCGUCCAUACACACCCUAGGAAGCAAAACACCCCAAAAACACCAUUCUAGUGCCUAGAAAACAUAACAGCCACUCCACCUUCUUCCACCCUCUUUUCCUAGUUCUCCACCACCUUCCAACCAUCAAACACUCUUCCACACUCACCCUAAACCCCUCCAUAUCAUUCCCCAUCCAUUCUACACCAUAAAUCCACCCAAAAAUCUGUCCACAAGCUUCAUGCCGCAACAAGGAGGAAGGGAGAUCCAUUGAUGCACUUGCUUUCCAAGUUGGAGCAUUUUAGGUGUUUUCUUUCCUUUGAUUUUAAUGUCUAAUUUUAUGUAUCUUUGUAUUGCAAGAAUGAGGAACUAAACCCCCUUAGUUGGGGGGUGAUUCGAAACCAUGUACAUGCUUGCAAUAUGAUUUGAUUACAUCCAGUUGUGAUUCAUAAGUUGUGAAUUCAAUUUACUUAUCCGAUCGUAUAAAAAAUGAUUUGUGUAUGUUGGUUGAGAGUGCACGCUUAAUUUUCAUGCAUGAAUUUAACGCUAGAAUAUAAGGGAGUUUCACCUAAUCGUUAUGAACUUAUAUUCACAAGUAGUGAAGGUUGCUAGUCACAAUCACGUUAAGUAAAUUCUUGGCAUAAGUUUCAUGCAAAUCAUAGUAACGAGUGCAUCGUCAAUGCUUAUGUUUUUCAUAGAACUUAAUGAUUCUUGCUUGUAUCUCUAUUAUGCAAUUCAUGUAGGGAACUUGUAGGGAAUGUUUUGGGUUGUCGUAUGCAAUCAUCCAAUCCAAUAACUUGUGGAAAAACUGAGGGUUAAUUAGUGCAAUUCACGGUUAAUUUGGGGCGUUGAGUAUUCAUAGCUUAUCGAAAAGGAAUUGGAAAUCGUUUUGUAUGCAAGUGUGACAUGUGUGGAGAAGAACCUCCUAGCUAGCCUUCCAUCCAUAAGUUUCAUUCAAAUUCACUUACAAUCUGUUUUGUUUUACAAAGUUGUUUUGUUUUCAAAUUCAUCAAAACCAAACCCCCCCAUUAUUAAAUUAUAUUAUUUAGUUAGUUUUCAUUGUUGUUAGUCUUUUAAUUCAAUUUCCGUCCAUUUCAGUUCCUAGUGUCUAAUUUGAUUGUUUUCAUUAUUUUGAGUCAUUCUAAGUGUGUUUCGAGUUAUUAGAGUUUUUAGCCUAGUUUUGUGUCCUUGAGUCUUGUUUAAUAUUUUUAAAUUAAUUUAGAAUAGAUUAGCAAUCCCUCCUAAUCCCCGGCCUAGAACGAUACCCUACUUACAUCUAUACUACAAUUGUCAAAAAGAGGGUUAAUUUGUGUGUUUAGUUAUUUUACGCAUCAGAGAGUGAAACCGAGAGAAAGAGUACGGGGAGGAAGAGAAAGAAGGAUAAUGUGUGUGUGUGUGUGUGUGGUCCACGUGGGUCACCAAAUCAAAACCACCAAAAAUCAACAUCUAAGUCUCCAAAAUAAGUCACACACACGGACCACAAGAUUCAUCGUCCCUGGUUAAAAUCAUCAUUUUACGUCACUGAGAAUAAAAUAAUACAUAUUUCUAGGACGGGCUGUGACAUGACAGUUGACAUGUGUAAACAAGCUUACUAAGUGAAUAAACUGAUUUUUUUUUUUUUUUGCUCGCUUCCUGCUCUGUUACUAUCUAAAAAAACUUAUAUUUAAUAUUAAGAAACGCUGAAAGAUUCAAAUCAUGGAUCCAUCACUGUAAACUUAUCAAAUUUCUUCAGAUGAAAUUUUAACAUUAGAUAAUAUGUAUGUUAUUAGACUAGUCGAUCAUGCAUCCGGUUCAAACGAGUGAUUUCAAUUAAAUUUAGUGAUUCAGUUAGUAUUGGAUAGUCAAAAUCACUUAUGUAAACGAUUCAUCCCAGAUCUAUCUAUUCUCAAAAUCAUUUUCGAUCAGCAUAUCUUGUUAUUAAUUUCAAAUGUACUCUUAAUCUUAUUGUCAAAUUGAAAUUUUUUUUUAUAUAAUUCAAUCCAUAUGGAUUGUUACUAUUUUUUUCCGGCGAUAGGAUUUUAUUGAUGAUUAAAGAGCAUGAUAAUUUUUGAGAAGAAUAUCCUGAAUAAUGUUAUUAGGUUCGUUACACCAACUGGAAUCGAGUCUCGGAUUAUGCAUAUAUUAGUCUCUCUGUUAAGGCUUUAAACACUUGCUGAUGUGGAGUAGUUGAGGCCAUUGGACCCCAAGUCCCAACCCUAAAGGCUAAAACACAGGAGGAUUUACUUAAUUAAUUGUCUCAUCGCAUGGCAUGUACUUUUCAAGUUUCAACCUACGGACAGACAAACACGCACACGAGCUUGUUAAGUUCUUGUUUCUUAAACGUUCGUAUGGAUGGCUGCUGCGAAGAGGUGCAUAGAUUUUGCUUUAGUCCUCGAUCAUGAAUCAUCCAUUCGAUCAAUGGUACGAAAUACGAUUAACUAUAUAAAAUUAUGCUUAUUCUUUUUGGUUUUUUCUCUUGAUUGACAUCAAUUUCGACGUCAUUUAUAUGAAUCAGAGUCCCAAAUAUUUCAAGGAAAAUUAUUUGGAAAAUUAUUUUAAUCAGAAAACUGAUUUGGAUGCAUGUUUUGUUUCCCAUGUAUUUGGGAGCAUCAAUCAAAUUCAAACUUGGAUUAGGAAAUGCCUUCUGAAACAAUUAAAGGAAAUGCUGCUGCUAAUUUAAUUUGUUCUUCGGGGUAGAUUAGGGGCAUGUUUGAGAUACGACUGCAUUUGGUAGAAAAACAUAUAAAUUUAGGUCUUUCUCUUUCAAGUGCUUUUCCAGGAAGCACAGCUGAAGUGCUGCUUCUAAUAAAAGCGCUUAUGAGGAGAAUUGCUUCUUUAAUGGUUGAAUAAUGUACGUCAAGCAUUCUGAAUUUGAUAUGUAGGUGUUCGAUAUCUGAUACAUGUUAUGUUGCCAAUACAAUGGAAUUCCAUUUCCUUGUCCGUGAUGAUUCAUUUUUGCUUGCAAUUUGGAUAUAGGUUUUACGAGCUUGUAGCUGAAGCCAUCACUGGUCGUUCAAGUAGAUUUAGGAGGUGAAUUUUACCAUGGGAAAGAAUUUGAGAGACAAAAACCCUAACAAUCCAUCAGGGAAUGAGCAUUCAUCAGGGUGCGUUUGGGGAUUACUUCACAUCAUGAAGUAUCACCACUGGCAUUAUGUCAAGAAAAGACAAGUGCACAAGAGGCGCCGCGGUAAUAGACACACUGUCGGUAAGUAAAAUGACUCCAGUCUAUAUUAUAUGAAAGUUUUUCUCCCUGCUUUCUCUUUCAUUAAAGUUUAAUCUUAGCCACUUAGGCCAUAUACGCAAAUUUUGUGCAUAAAAUCGAUCUAUGUGCAUAAGAAUCGGUCUUGUUUACUGCACUGGUAGCCUAAAUUUCGUUCACUUUUGUAAGUAGUUCAAUAGACUGGCUGGAGCUUAUGACCAUGCCAUGAUAUGUGAUGUAAAAUAAUAUUACAGUUUAUUUAUGUUGGACUUUUUUUUUUUCUUUCUGUCUGCUUGGCCGCAGGAGUUGGGAUUCUGGGAAGCUGUACUGCAAAUGCCUGUACGCCAGAAGACACAGAUGCUAAGAUUGAUGAAUCUACUGUAAGUUUCAGCAAAAGAAUUUCUGAUAGCAUGCAUUUUAGUGCAUUAUUGGAUAUUAAUUUCUUUUCGUUUUCAAAAAUAUUACUUGAAAGAGUGAUAGACAAAAGCAACAUUUGAUUUGAUUUUAUCAGGGUAAAGGAAAGACGAUGCAGUCCAUUCCAGCAGGCAUACAUUCUGUCAAGGCCCGAAUAAAAGCACGGAUUUCUGGAGAAAUAUCAAAGAAGAAGGGUAGGCUUAACCGGAGUUCAAGCUGCCCUGUACGAUCACAAUUGAAACAGCAUCAUUUCGAAGCACCACCUAACCUGCACCCGAUUGCUGAAAUGGUAUUGAAUGAGAAAAGUCCUAGAAUUGCUCACCACGGCAAUGAAAAAUCUUGUGCUACAAGCAAUCUGGCAUCACCGCCCAUGACAUCAUAUGAAGGACCAAUUAGUGACAACAAUGAUUGUUGUGGAGAUAGUUGCCCACCAAUCACUAGAGAUCGUACCGUGCAUGACCAGGUUAACGAGAAUCAAAAGGAUCACACAUUUACUGAAGAAAAGCUGGAUAAUGACAUAAUGCAAAAUAUGUUCAAGAAGAAGUUGAUAAACGUAAAAGAACUCGAUGCAGAUGCUUCCUUGCACCAUCCGAAGGAGUAUUUGGAGGCUUUGGAUAUAAUCAAUGUGAACAAGGAGUUAUUAGUAAAGAUUUUACAUGACCCCGGCUCUCCUUUGGCUGUGCACUUCAAUAAUCAGCAAGCCGUCAGUGCAAAAAUGGGUUUAACUAGGUCAGACUCAUUCCCCGUCAAACUCAGGCACAAGCAUGAGUUGACAGGGUCUCCUUUAAAAGAAGAAAGCAAGUCGAAAAACAUCAGUAAAACAAAGAAGUUAGUAGGGUCGUCUUCUUUGAAAUAUGCUGGUGAACGCUCAAUUCCAUCGAUCAGUGAGCACACUGCAGAUGGGAUUCUAGAGGUAAACCAAACAAUUGCUGAUAGUUCUAGUUCUGCUGAAAAUUGAGGAGCCGAGGUGAGAAUCAAGUGUCAAUUAAGCGGUUCAAGGAUAUUAGACAGAAAAUAAAGCAUGUAAUCAAGGAGAGCAGACAAGAGAGACAUAUGAUCGCCAUGGAUGCCAUCCUCCACAAGGUUCCUCAUGGCCAAAAGCUUGCUAAAGAAAUGGAGAAAGAGAUCAUUAACCAUUCGAAGGACCUUGCAAUGAAUAGAGAAGGUAAAGACAGUUCAGCAAGCAGUUUUGAUAGCGAUUAUUCGAUUUCUACCUUCAAGAAAAAGCAACAACGCCACAUGAGAAGAGCAUCAUCACUCAAUGCAUCGCUAGAUAAGUACUGUGAGUUUUACGAGUCUAGUUGCAACAGAGAAGCCAAAUGCCAUACAACAUCCGAGAGAUUGAAGUUGAGAAAUGAAGGGGUAGGCUCGCCUUUACGCUCUGUCCCAAAAACGUUGGGGAGGAUUUUUUCCUUGCCUGAAAUGAAAUCAUAUAACUAUCAGAGUGAGGAAUCUUCUGAUGUGUUCUCUUCAGAAUAUCAUAUGCAGCUCGAUGCGCCAGUAGAAAGUGAGAUUAAAAAAUUGGCUGAUGUUGGUGAAUUGAAGGCAGCUUCCGGGAAUAAGAUGGCAUCAACAUCAGUUGCAGACAGUGAGAAAAGUGCUCCAGUGUAUUCAAUUGUUGACGAUAUUGAAAACUUGAAAGAACCGUUUCCUAUCUCUGUGCCCGAGUUCAACGUUUCCCUCUCCGAAGGUAUGUCUUCAUUUUUAUUAAUAGGUGCUACCUUAAAUUACAUCAUCUCAAACCAAGUGCAUGCACUCUUCAAAACUUUAAUUUCUUGUUUGCUCUAAGAAACUUUAUGUUCAAUGAACCUUUAAGUCCAGAAAUUAUCAGAUUUUUUAGCUUCAAAUUUUGGCACUUACUGAUCAAACCAACUUUUGACUGAAGAAUAAAGAUCAUCCCAACUUUUUUCAGUGUAAAAAAUGAAUUAUGUUUCAAAUUUAAGUCGUUCUUCGUAUUUUCCUCCAUCAAUCACCAAUUGUUGAGCUUUUAAGACUGAAACGAUUAUGCUUAUAGAUAUCGGUUUUAUAGGAGAAGAAACGGAAAUAAAACCUAGAGAUGAACAAGAAAACUUGGCCAAGCCAGGGCAUGAUUUUGUUAUUGGUACGCCUAAGGCGGUUCACAUAGAUACAGAGAAGAUUGAAGUCCAAGGAAGCACUUGAGGUACGACAUGACUCAUCUCCGUGUUGAUGACAGAGACAUGGCUGAAUUCAAUUACGUACGAAAUGUGUUGAAGCAAUCUGGAUUCAAUGGGAAUGAGUCCCUUGGGACAUGGCAUUCGGAUGACCAGCCAGUUGAUCGUUUGAUGUAUGGAGACGCGGAGGGCUGCUUGGUGCAUGGUCUUGAUUGUUCAGGAAAUGAAGAAGGCAGGAAAUGCGAUCACUAUCUUUUGUUUGAUAUAAUCAAUGAGGUGCUGAUGGAGAUAUAUGGUAGGUCAUACAACUACUGUCCGAUGGCGUUGUCUUCGCUAUGUCACAUUCCUCUAAUGCCGGCAGGGAACCAUGUUCUAAAGGAAGUUUGGACCCUUGUGAGUUGGUACUUGAGCUUGAGACCUGAGGUUGAUCAAUCACUGGAUUAUGUUGCGAGCAGGGAUCUUGCGAAGAACGACGGAUGGAUGAACCUCCAGUUUGAUUCUGAGUGCAUAGGGAUUGAGCUGGAGGACUUAAUUUUUGAUGAAAUUUUAGAGGAAGUUCUCUGUGUUUGAGCUUGUGGAUGGAUCGGCUUUCAGUUAUCCGAUACGUUGCCAAAUCUGACAAGACGAUAUAUGUUCUAAACUAGUUUAACCUGCAGGGAAGUAGAAUCCGAAAGUGGGUGCAAAUGAUCGAGCACUCGGCCCUAGUCAAUUGGCCUAACCCACAUCUACAUGUAAUAUCAUUACUCUGAACUUCACCAAGAACAUAGAGAAAAGGAUUAGGAACAGAGAGAAUUAUUUUGUUCAUAUUCAUAUUGUUGUGCCUUGGUCCGUUCAUUAGUGCGGAAACAAGAUUCAGAUUACAACCUCACCAAAAUCACACUCGGUUGAACAGAAUAAAAUACAAGAAAUAAAGACACCGAGAAAUUUACGAGGUUCGGCAAAAAAUCAUGCCUACGUCCCCGGAGAGAUAUUGCUCUUCACUAUGAGAAUAACAGUACAAGUACACAUGAGUUAAAUCAACAUAACCCAAUCCCAAAUCCCUUGCACACCCACUCAUAGAAUUUUCCCAAGAGCCUCACUCUACCCCAAGAGUUCUUUCACUAGAAUACUUUUCACUCUAGCUCUCUUGAUUUUUCUCUCCCCCAUGCCCAUGCUUUCCCAUGGGAGAGCCGAAUGCUCUCCCCCUUUGGAUGCUCUCUCUCUCUGAUGUCUUCUCAGGAGAGAGCCGAAUGCUCUCUUUCUCUUUUUCUCCACUUCGGCUCUUUGCAAUUAAAUGGACAGAAAAGUGAGUCAACUUCUCAUUUUUUUCAUAGACACAAUGAUGAUCCAUCAUGCUCCCUUUUCUCAAAACACAAAACCACUUUCGGCAUGCAAAUGGGAAAUGAAUAAAAAAUGCCAAAACAAAGGAAUCCCAUGAAACAUCAUCAUUGUCUUCCACUAUUAGCCAAAAUGAGAUAUGGACAUAUUUGGCCACUAUUCCGAAAGCAUAACACACAGAGUCAUUUAAUUGUUAACAGCUCAAAAUAUGAGCCAAUCACAACAAUCUCCACCUUGGCGAAUAUACUGUGCAAAAAAUCCUUGCACCCAUCACCAAAGUCCAUUGGCCUUACGUACCAGUAUACACACUCUGAAUCAACCUUUUUGGUCCUGUUUCGAUUCAGUCACUGCCAAUGCAUGUGCAGCUGCUGCAAGCUAAAAAUCACCAUUUAGCUUCAGACAGUAUCUCGACACAUCCUCGUCUCCUCCAGCAGGUUUUCCUCCUUUUCAUUGUCUGCAACCUGGAAACUCGUCAGCGCGCCCGUUUGCAACAACAACCCAUCGAGCCAGACAAAAUUCCCACACUUUCUCCUACCUCAGGACCAUCUCAUCACAUGUGAAUCCCAUAGCUCCACCUGCUGUAAAACCCCUGCAACACUUGAGACUAAACAUCACCUGGAGAAGUGUUGCUUCGAGUACCUAGAGGACAUACUCAAAGUCUUCCGUCACAAACUUGCUACAACCCGGCCUUGCACUCGUAGCACUGUGGACCCUUGCCUCCGAAACCGGAUCUGAACCUGCUGUCUCUCUCAGAUCCUCUUUUCAAUUUUCUUCCACGAUUCCAACCUUUAAUAACUUAAGCAGUCUUGUGCCCACCAUCAUCCAUGGUCUCCUUUGUGUAUCAUUCAACACCAAAGAAGCUUGCACCUGCUCCAAACUUACUGUAACUUUCCAUGCAGUAAAGUUUCACAAGGUUCUCGUACGAAUCUGAAAGUGAGGGAAGAAGAAAAAGGCCUUUGUCUUCUUCCUCAACAUCAACUUUCGCAGUUGAUCCAAGCAUCCCUGAACACGGCUUCCAUUUCUUCAGGCUUCCAUUACUUUCCUUUACCAAGAGUAAAACCGCCUCUCCCAUUAAACUGCUCAACUGAAAAUUCCAUGGUGAACAACAAAUCUGGACCUCUAACAAACCAAGCCUCCAACGAUGCUCUGAUACCAAUUGUUGUGCCUUGGUCCGUUCAUUAGUGCGGAAACAAGAUUCAGAUUACAACCUCACCAAAAUCACACUCGGUUGAACAGAAUAAAAUACAAGAAAUAAAGACACCGAGAAAUUUACGAGGUUCGGCAAAAAAUCCUGCCUACGUCCCCGGAGAGAUAUUGCUCUUCACUAUGAGAAUAACAGUACAAGUACACAUGAGUUAAAUCAACAUAACCCAAUCCCAAAUCCCUUGCACACCCACUCAUAGAAUUUUCCCAAGUGCCUCACUCUACCCCAAGAGUUCUUUCACUAGAAUACUUUUCACUCUAGCUCUCUUGAUUUUUCUCUCCCCCAUGCCCAUGCUUUCCCAUGGGAGAGCCGAAUGCUCUCCCCCUUUGGAUGCUCUCUCUCUUUGAUGUCUUCUCAGGAGAGAGCCGAAUGCUCUCUUUCUCUUUUUCUCCACUUCGGCUCUUUGCAAUUAAAUGGACAGAAAAGUGAGUCAACUUCUCCUUUUUUUCAUAGACACAAUGAUGAUCCAUCAUGCUCCCUUUUCUCAAAACACAAAACCACUUUCGGCAUGCAAAUGGGAAAUGAAUAAAAAAUGCCAAAACAAAGGAAUCCCAUGAAACAUCAUCAUUGUCUUCCACUAUUAGCCAAAAUGAGAUAUGGACAUAUUUGGCCACUAUUCCGAAAGCAUAACACACAGAGUCAUUUAAUUGUUAACAGCUCAAAAUAUGAGCCAAUCACAACACAUAUAUCCUUUAGUAACUAGUGAAAUAUGAAAUUUGUAGUGUAUAUUUAAAAUUGGGGUUCACGUGUCCUGCAGUGUGAAUUUGUGAGGAGAUUUGCUUGUAACAGUUUGCUUUCUACAGUAAUCAGACAGAAAGUAUUACAUCAAUCAAAAGAAAUUGUGCAACAGAUUCUAUAAUAACAUUCCCAAAACCCCUCAGUAAGGAACUAACCCAAGAUUUUAGGCUUGAAUGUCUACUUGGUGACAUUGAGUUUCUAGCACGUAGGAUGCAGUCUGUUGUUUUCGUCUUUGUGUCUAGAGAGAGUAACAAAGCUGCUCACUUGGUGGCCAAGUAUGUAGGUGAGAAAGGAAGGGAUUUCGUGUGGGAUUGUAUUGGGCCUGAAUUUUUGUUUAAUAUCUUGGCCCAAGAUAUUAACAUUCCUAUGAGAAUUAAUAUACUCAUCUUUGACAAAAAAAAAAUCAAAAGAAAUUGUGCCAUGUGUCUCUCUCGAGUGAGAGUCUUUCUCUCUUUUUGAGAGUACUAGAAAUUGUGACCUGCACGUUGCUGUGGGGAGUGUGACUUGCACGUAGCUAUGAGAUUGAAAAUUUUAUGACAUAAUAUGGUUAAAACAUAUACAAAUCAUGUAUCCAAUGAUUGUGGACCUAAUAAUCAUAGACUCAGCAUCGAAUGCCUAAAUGUCAUCAAACCAAAGUAAACUUUCAUUUUACUAAGUUCUUAGCACUUCAGUUAAAUCUGAAGUUAAAAAAAGUAGUUCAAUUUGACUUAAAAUACACAAAGGAAGGCAGAUAGACAGAACAAACAGUUGCGGAAAAGUGUACAGUGACACUGAUCCUGCAAGUCAAAUAUGAAAAAUAUUCAAAAGAAAGUAAAAAUUCAAAUUAUUCCUAGCAUUAGUAGAUUAAAAAUGAAGAAAUAAAAUUCAUUUAAGUUUAUAUUGCUUGUCGCUUGACAAUUCAGCAUGGGAAAAAAAUGCAAGAGAAAAAUAUUGUUAAUAUCCGGUGAAGUGAAUAACAGUGAGUAUAACAUGAAUAUGCAUGUGCAUGGUAUGGAAAAAAACUGGACAAACCUAAAUCAACUAAGUUACAACACAACUACAUAUGCAAACAACGCAAAAGACUGAAUUAGGCGCAAGCCAACUAACUUUGAAUCUAACCAAAUCAGAAAAGCAAUCACAAUCAAACUAACCUCUUCUUCCCAUAUGAAGUAAAAGAUGUCUCCUAUUUUGCCUUUGCGAACAGCGCGCUUUUCACCCUUUACGCACAAAAAGAACACACUGAAAAUGCUUGACAACAUUAUAAAAGCUAUACAUACAACAUUAUAUAUGUAUUUGAACAUAAAGUAUAAAGAUUUACUAACAAAUUCAAGCUUAAAUUUAACAAAAUAAGUAAAUAUGAAUUGAAAUCAAACCAUAUCAUACUUGUUAAAAAACGUUUUUGACUAAAUUUGACAAAUAGCAUCAUAAAUUGUUCAAAAAUUAGCACCACUGAAAAAACUCAUUACUCCAAUAAAAAACGGAAUAUUGUUUGAUUUACAUUGAUAAAAUAUGACAAAAGUAGUCCACCGGAGCACCAAAAGUUUUCCUGCAUAUCCACCAUCACACAUUACUUAAAAACCAAAACAAAACACAAAAUUACACACACAUAACAAAAUUAAAUAGAAGACCAAUAAAAAAAACCAAUACAUUACGUAAAAGAAUUGUGGCAAUUAACCCAAUUUACAAUGAAAACGUUAACUGGACAGCCUUGUCGAAAAGAUUGGAUCAACAUAUUCCACAUAGGUAGUUCUUGUGGCUUUGGAUUGACAAUGGUAUUUGCAUACAAAAGAUUUAAUAAACAUUGUCCCAUUUACAUGCAAAAAAUGACAAAAAUAUUGUUCUAUUCAAUUACCUUCCAGAAAAUAAUAAUGAUAGUGAAAAUGCUUAUGUUAUUCGGUCAUAUGGCAGCUUGAAAUCGAAAUACUAAGCUCUCAAUUAACCAAAAAAAGGCAGUAACUUUGAAAAAUAUUUGACAACAUAUUACACACCAACAAUAAAAGGAUUUCCAUCAUUGUGAGAAAAAAAUCCUACAAAAAUUGGUAUUGUUCAUAUCACUAUAGAUUUAUAUCUAAUGGCAUAUAGUUUGAAGAAACUGACGACAUUUCUCCAGAGUAUUUUGAACCAAGAAAUGAUAAUGACAAAUAAGGGCUACGAUGAGCGAGAUUAUACGACUACUGAAAUUUUGGAUUGAAAGAAAUACAAUACUUGCAUAGGAAAAAGGGUCCAUCUCGAACACUCCAUAUGUAGUGGAUGAGAAACUAAGAAAGUAGCAAAAGAAAAAUUAAAUGGCAUAAACUCUAUGCUGAAUCAACACAUAACCAAACCCAUUUGAGUCUUACCUCGUGAUCAUUAACCCAACUAAUUGCCACCCACCUUAAGUUUUGCUACAUAAAUGCCCUUUGCAAGCAACCCAAAUGGAGUGGUCUCCUCUUCCAAAGUGUGCAUAUAUGGUUCUUUGUCAAGAGAAAAUGCACUCAACAUUUGCUCUAAUCGACUGACACAUAAGAAAGUAAAAACAAUUGGUACACCGGUUAGCAUAGUACUUACAUAGAGAAAAUGGUCCAUUUUCUAGACUCCAUAUGCAAUGGAUAAGAAACUAAGAAAAUAGCAAAAGAAAAAUUAAAUGGCAUGAACUCUAUGUUGAAUGAACACAUAACCGAACCCAUUUUAGUCUUAUGUCGCGAUCAUUUGCCCAAAUAAUUACCAGAUUUCCAAGUGAUAAAUCAAAUAUAUAACUCUUACUAUCAUGCACUACCAUUCCAAAUUACCAUGUCAAGAGAAGGGAAAGGAACAUUGUGAGGUGAAAAAUAUAACUAAGGGCAGAGUAGAAUUAAUCAUUUUGAUGUUCCUGUUAAUUAUGUCUAAAAGAAUUUCCAUAUCCAGUGCAUUCUUUCUCAUAAUUGACACAAAAGAAAAAAAUAUACGGCCAUGUUCAUGUACUUCAAAGAGGAACAACCAUAUACCUGAGUUUUUCAGAUCAUUAGUCACCUUCUUCCCAAAUUCCCUGAACAUAAAAUUCUCUUGCGCUCGUUUGUUUCAUGUUGUGCCUUGCUCCCAUUCAGAUCCUUCUAUUUCUCCUAGUUGAAGACUCUAAGUCAAGUAAAAUCAAACAUUUAAACGACUCAUCUCUCACCUGAUUGAUUGGUACCAAAUGAAGGCUAUUAAUACUUAUUUGUAAUUUAAUUAGCAAAAAAAUUAAAAACGCUUGAAUGAAUUUAACAAAUCGGUGAGCUACAGUAUGUAAGUAAUUAGUACUCUUGACAAUACCUGUUGCUUAUCCAAGAUAUAAUUCAAUGUCAAAUCGAAAUCAAAAUUAAUAUGAACUAAUUUAAAUAAGUGCAAGCAUUGAUACCUCAAUUGAAUUUUUUCUUGCCGAAAAACCUUGACCUUCAAAACCAAAUUACCUUUAUCAACGAAAAUGAAUCAAUUUAAGAAAGCCAAUACAAUGUAAAAAAAUAGCCAUUCAAUUCAGAUGUAUUUAGAUUAUACAAAGGUCCAUUCAAACAACCAUAAAGACAAAAAAUGAAAAUUUGAACAACCAACCUUUUCCAAAAACCACUGGUCCCACCCUUCUAACCUUUGAUUGAUCCAGUAAGAACCAAAAUAAUCUUAAAUGAAAAGAAACCCUAUUAAUUAACCUUCAAUAUCAGAAUCUAUAAUCACUUUCUUCAACUAAAUUGACUUUUUUGUUGGAAAACCCCACAAAACCCAGUUUACUUAUCCAUUUCUAAGGGAAUUGACAUACAUGCUUACGUUUCUCACCACUAGUCUGAUGCUCCACUUAUAUCCUGACUCAUUUCCUUGCAAACUGUCGUUUGAUUGCCAUAAGUGUCUAGUAGAAUUUUUUUGGAAGCUUGUAACUUUGUUUCAUUACUGGUUGUAAAUUUAUGCAGAAUACCGAUUGGAUUAAAAGGUAUUAAAUUAAUGACGUAUAAAAUUAGAAAAAACAAAUAGACACAAAAAAGGGACCGAAGUUCCACAUAUGGUGCAAGUUCAUAGAUUAGAACUUACCACUUGAAAUGUCUCUAGGAAUUUUCCGAGUUGGUGUUCAUGUUGCUUUUCAUCAUUCAUUCCAUCAAGCAUUAUAUACUCAAUGAAGAUUUUCUGUUGACUAAAGAGUCAGAUUAAAGAGCAAUAACGAGAUUUUCUAAGAUUGUAAAACAACAGUAAAGUUUCGUUGUAAACAAAUGAAAGCUCAAAGAAUUUACUAAAGGAAAAGCCCAAGCUGCAGCCGUUAUCUGACAAUGAAUUUCUUGGACUGCUGCAUGAAGUAAAAUUGCUAAUUUCAGACCUGGAAGAUGGCAAUGAAACUUUCCAUAUUUCUUUAAUCCAAAUUUUUAAAACUAAAAUCAUAAAAAAUUGAAUAAAGAAAAAAAAUCAACUUUUUUGAGCUAACCAAUCGCCAGUUUUUGAGUGCCUACUCAUGGAAGGAACUUCAAAAGUGGGAGCCAAAUGCAUAGCAGGUACUCUUUCACUCUUUCCCUAGGUUCUGUCCACUGACUCUGGCUUGUAAACAAAAACAUUAUGAACAGAAAAAUUUGAAAGAUGUUGUAGAACAGUGGAUGUCCACUCAAAUAAUUAAAUAAUUGGCCCUUCCUUUUGGUUGCUGAAGCUUGCUACACACUACUCCCAUUUUCUAUAUAAAUACAAACCCCACACAACAUCAAAGUGGGAAGACUCACGGGAGAGAUAGGAAGGAAGAAAAAGGAGAGAAAAGAAAGGAAGAAGAAAAGGAGAGAAAGAGAGAAAGGAGAGGAAGAGGAGAUGAGAUAAUGGAGAGAGUUAUCUUUGUAUUUCUAUUAUUUCAGAUUAUAAUGAAAGCACCACUGCUGCCCCAAGGACGUACUCCAGUCACAUUGACUGUAGAGGAACCUCGUAAAUUUGUGUCUUGUUUAUUUAUUCCAUUAAACACACCAUCGAUUUUAUAACACGUUAUCAGCACGAGAAGCUCUCAUGUCAGUGGAAAGCACAACGCCACAAAUCCUGUUCACAUCUGUCGCUUGGAAUCUCACAGAUAAGAAAAUUUUUCAUGUCAUCUUAAAAUCUUUGUACUACUGAUUUUCCUGAAGCAAAUAUAUAUAUGUUGUUGCAUGACUGUAUAUCAUUCUUUGCAGAAGCAAAAGAGUACAAACUCAAAAUUCGUAGAGAAUUUGACAGCCAUGUAAACAGCCUCGGAACUCCAACUUGCGGACCUCGGAUUGAAAUACGUUCUUCUUGAAAGUUGUUCAUCCACUCAUUAUCUACAACAUAUCAAAAUUUCCGAAAACUUUAACGGUGCGAUCGUCGCAGAUGUCUGAAUACCAAACCAGUUUCCACCUUCCGCAUAAAACUGGAUAGCCACCUUAUGAGUACCACAACUUCAUUUCUGUAGCUCAAAUCGAAAUUGUUUCUUCACGAAAGUUAUUUGGUAUCCUCUUAUCCAUAUCAUACUAAAAUUUGAACUAAAUCUAACGGUUUGAUCUUCUCAUAAGUUGCAGACACUCUUGACUCCAAAACUUAUGGGAACCGUUUCGACUUUUUCGAAACUCACUUCAGGAGGAACACCAAUUGGAACUUAUUAUUACUAUUAUUUACUGAGUAACCAAAAUGACUUCAGAACUGUGAAAUAAAAAUAAAAAUAAAAGGAAUCAGACAAAAGAAGUGGCAAACCAAGAAAAAUAAAAAGCAAAAGAUGAGGACUUAAUCAUUGCAUUUUCUGUUUUGGCAUAUUUAUGUGCAUGGUGUUGGUUUAAAUCCCAUGUCACAAGUUCUAUUUAUUUAAAGCAAUUUAUUUACAGUGGGUAGAAUUAUUAUCCUUUGCUUUAAAGCUUUGAUAUUUAUGAGAAGGGUGCUGAAUCAAAGCCCUUGUCACAAGCUUUAUUUACUUAAAAGCAAUUUAUUUACCAUGGACGGUUUUACGACCUACUGCUUUAAGUUUUGAUUUAUGUGAAUGAUUCUUAAUUAAAGCCUUUGUCACAAGUUUUAUUUACUUAAAUGUAAUUUAUUCAUUAUGGCUGGAAUUACCACCUAUUACUUUAAUUUAUUUAUUAUACUUAUCUUUUGUUACGACGAAUAUAUACAGUACCUGAACUUCCUUGAUCAGAUCAGAACCUGUAGUUUCUUGAUCCUCAACAUAUAAAAAUGAUUGGACCUGAAGUUCCAUCACACAAAAAGAUCAGACAUAAAGUCCCUUGAUCCUGAAGAUCAGGACAUGAAAUUCCUUGGUGAGUAUCGUAAGUUUAAAGUGUCAUAGUGGCUCAACUUAAUUGUAAUAAAAGCUAUAAGAGUCUCAGUCUACAGACUAUUUAAUAAGGACCAGAAGUUCCUUAUGUCCAUACUCAAAAUGGUUUAGCAGAAUCAUUUAUUAAGCGGAUGAAAUUGAUUACCUGUGCUUUGCUCAUGAAAAUGAAAUUGCCAGUUUUGACAUGGGGACAUGUCAUUUUACAUAAUUCAUUAUUAAGUUUGGUUAAGACUAGUUGCCAACCAUCAAUAUUUCUUAGUACAACUCGUGUUUGGGCACUAGCCAAACAUUAGCAUUUCGAGUUUUUGGUUGUGUUAUCUAUGUGCCUGUAAGAUUGCCAUAACGUACGAAAAUAAGGCAUCAAUACAAAUUGGGAAUUUAUGUUGAAUUCUGUUGAUGCACAAAACCGGAGGGGUCUUGGAACAACGUAAAUCCGACCAUGAAUCUGCAAGAAAGUAAAGAACACAAGAUAUAUCGUGGUUCACCCCAAUGUUUGGGCUACGUCCACACUGAUAUUGUAUUUCUCUGUUUGUGAGAGGAUUGUGAGAGUGAGAGAUUUGAAUAUGAAAGUGAGGCUUUGGGGAUCUCCGGCCCCUUCUUUAUGAGGGUGAGGAGUCCCUUUUAUAGACUAAGGGCUCCUCACUUAUUACAUAUUUACCCCUUCAUUUAUUACAUAAUUACAUUUGAGUCCCCCGAGUAUUUAUACGAGGUCUAAAUACGGAGGCCCUAAGUAUGGUACAAACAGUAGUCCCCCAAGUCUUCAGUCAAGAAAGUCUUUUGGUUGGAGACUUGAAAUUCAGUCCAUGUGUGGGCUAAAGUAACUAGAUGUCGUCUAGAACUAAAUACUCGAUAUGAGGCGGUGCUCAAUGUGAAAUGAUGCUCAACUAAAUGUAGCACAUGUUGCAAGGCUGCUCGGCUUGUGGCUUAUGUUGCCUUGGUUGGCUUGGCUUGUGGCGUUGAAGGUAAGGGAGUCCCUUUUAUAGAAUAAGAGCUCGCUCCUCAAUACAUAAAUGAUGGGUUAGAGUUGAUGUUCGCGGCGAAACGGUUGCUUAGCAGGCGGCGAUGCUCUCUAAUAAUGAUGAGGGAGUCCCUUUUAUAGAAUAAGGGCUCGCUCCUCAAUACAUAAGUGAUGGGCUAGAGUUGAUGCUCGCAGCGAGGCGGUUGCUCAGCAGGCGGCGAUGCUCUCUAAUGAUGGUGAGGAAGUCCCUUUUAUAGAAUAAGGGCUCGCUCCUCAAUACAUAAGUGAUGGGCUAGAGUUGAUGCUCGCGACGAGGCGGUUGCUCAGUAUGCGGCAAUACUCUCCAAUGAUGGUGAGGAAGUCCCUUUUAUAGAAUAAGGGCUCGCUCCUCAAUACAUAAGUGAUGGGUGCUUUCUAAUGAAAGUGAGGGAGUCCCUUUUAUAGAAUAAAGGUUCGCUCUUCAAUACAUGAAUGAUGGGUUAAAUCCCCCAAGUAUUUUUCAUGAAGCCCAGUUGCGGAAGCCCAAUACAUGGUACAUAGUGUAGUCCCCCAAAUCUUUAGUUAAUAGAGUCUGUUGGCUGGAGACUUCAAAUUGAAUCCAUGUAUGGGCCAAAGUGGCAGUUGUUCAGAGGCGGUAUUUGUAUACCCUGCAUUGAAGCUUUGUAGGUGAAGCUUUGCAAGUGAAUCUUUGAAGCUGGAGCUUUUGUAAAUGAAGCUUUUGAAGCUGGAGCUCUGUAAAUGAAGCUUUCGAAGCUGACUGACAUGAGUGAUGCUCAUAAAUAUUUAUGUUGAUUGACAUGAGUGAUGCUCAUGGAUGUUGACAUGAGUGAUGCUCAUGAAUGUUGACAUGAGUGAUGCUCAUGAAUGUUUAUGUAUGAUUGACAUGAGUGAUGCUCAUAUAUAAUUUUGGAGUACUGGACGUACUUUUGAUCACCUAGUUGGUGAUAAUAGCGGCAGGCUGCCGAAUAAUUUUGGAGCACUGGACGUACUUUUGAUCAUCUGGUUGGUGAUAAUAGCGGCAAACUGCCGAAUAAUUUUUUGUAGUACUGGACGUACUUUUGAUCACCUGGUUGAUGAUAAUAGUGGCAGGCUACCGAAUAAUUUUGUAGUACUGGACGUACUUUUGAUCACCUGGUUGAUGAUAAUAGCGGUAGGCUGCCAAAUAAUUUUAGAGUACUGGACGUACUUUUGAUCACCUGGUUGGUGAUAAUAACGGCAGGCUGCCGAAUAAUUUUGGAGUACUAGACUUACUUUUGAUCACCUGGUUAGUGAUAAUAGAGGGCCUGGCUCUUUUGGGCAUAUGGGCCUUCGCUCUCCACAUAACAUUCCAGCCCAUUAUUUUGGGCUUGCAGAUUUUUUUUAAAUUUUUUUUAUUACCCUUUAAUGGGGUUAUACAGAUGUCUCCGAAAGAUAAAAAAAAAAUAAAUUACAUCAUUCAAAAAAUCUGUUGUAGAAGGUGGGUAUGGCAGAUGGUUGGAUAGUGGGAUAACAUGUGCAGCGGGCAGUUGCUUUUGCAGUGUCCCUCAUGUGCUACUCAUCAUCGAAAACAAGCUUUACGUCUUGAGGCUUCCCCUUAUUCUUUGCAAUGUCACCCAUGUGCUACCCAUCCUCGAAAACAAGCUUUCUUGAGACUUCCCAUUGUUCUUUGCAGUGUCACCCAUGUUGCUUUGCAAGGUCAUCUUUUGCUUUUCUUGAUAUGUGAGUAGAUGCACCACUGUAAAAUGCUCAAUAAUUUCUCAUUAUUGCAAACUGCUGCAACAACGUGACUCUUAAAACUCUUUAGCAAUGAUGUAUCUUUUUGCCCUUCUGGAAAAGGCUCUGUCGGUUCAGCAUCAUCUUCACAACAUCAAGUGGUCAGAUGAAGACUCCAGCAGCCCAUGCCAAUUUGAUUCAACACCGGAACAAUCCUCCAAAUGCUGCAUGCGUUUCUUACAUAGACCAAUGAAUGCAGAAAAUUGUAGCGGUACACUCUCAUGGCUUCUAAUAUCACCAUUGAAUACAGGCGCUGAAUUAGAUAGCAUAGCUUCCACAACACACAAUCUAACUCGUUCCUGCAAAUAAUCGAGACUGUCAUUACAUGGAUUCCAAUUGGAGAAAGCUUUCCAAUCUUUGACGCAGCCGCUGAAAACGGAGGGAACGUUCUCGGAUUCGAUCCGAGAUGCGAAGUCUGUGGCCGAAGGAACUUCGUUCAAUCUUCAAACUCACAGAGAUGACUCCAUUGAUACGCUGAUUUGCUCUCCGACUUACUAAGCUCGGUGAACUAGCACACAACCAUAGCAGGAGAACGAGAGCAAGAGAUAAAUGAACUUGAUGUCUUCUGUGUGGGCAACAAACUUUUGGGUUAACCUGCUGUCAUUUGCGCUGAUCUUUUCUACCGCAUAAACUCCCCCCAACACCCUUCAAAGCCGCAAGAUUGAAUCUUUUUUACCAACCCAAAUUCCUGAAUCACCAACCUGAUUUGGUUCCUCAUAAUUCCAGCAUUUCCUUCACUGACCCCAAACUUUUGGGUUUAAAUUAAUGUGCCCCAACUGACAGCCUUCCCAAUUUCACAGAAACGUCAGAAGACUCAUCGGAGGAAGUUACAGAGAGAGUCCGGUGAUUCUUCGAGAAGAAAUCCAGGCCGCCUUCAUCGGAGUUCUUCAGCAUCAAGCUCAAGCUCUGACCUUGUCGGUGCUACGAAUAUGCUUCCUAGGAAUAUGUUUCCCACAAACUUCACCGAUCGCUGGAAUAUACUUCCCGGCUUAGCUCUCGUCGAUUAUGUAAAUGGGUCGGGUUUUGAACGACGGGUCAAGCUCAAUGAACUUCGUGAUCGCGGCAAAGAAGUGUUUCACGAUGGUGACUUGGUCUCUUGAGAUCUUCGCUGAGUUAGCGGCGAUGCUAAAUCCGGUACCGAUCGGGUUGUCGAGGAAGGUCAUGCCAAAGAUUCUGUUCCAGGAGGCGGAAUUGGGUUCCAAGGCCAGGGGGUCAUAAGGGUUUUUAUGGAAAUUUCACGAGCUAGGGGCCGAGCUCGUAGAAGUUACCGAGCAUGGAGGAACAGCCGGGGCCGCCUAGAGUCAGAAAAUGUCCGUUGUGAGGUUUUGAGCUUUGUAGAAAGUGUAGAAAAUGGCAGAGCCGCUGGUGGGAGCAGAGGAUUAUGAGGAAAGAUAUGAAAAUGGCUUGCUUCUUUGACGACAUUGCUCAAAUGGGUUGAAGGAGGAUGAGAGAUUUUGAGGUGUUUAUUUGGUGGAACAGGUGCUUAGUUCUUGGGUUUAUGCGGAUUCACGGUGGAGUGUGGUGAGGUCUCACGUUGGUGAGAUGAAAAAAUUGAAAGAGAACCGACAUAGCUUUUCAUGUCGAUUUCCUACAAACGGCGCCAAAUGUUGAUGCACAAAACCGGAGGGGUCUUGGAACAACGUAAAUCCGACCGUGAAUUUGCAAGAAAGUAAAAAACACAAGAUGUAUCGUGGUUCAUCCCAAUGUUUGGGCUACGUUCACACUGAUAUUGUAUUUCUCUAUUUGUGAGAGGAUUAUAAGAGUGAAAGCUUUGAAUAUAAGAGUGAGGCUUCGGGGAUCUCCGGCCCCUUCUUUGUGAGGGUGAGGAGUCCCUUUUAUAGACUAAGGGCUCCUCACUUAUUACAUAUUUUCCCUUUCAUUUAUUACAUAAUUACAUUUGAGUCCCCUGAGUAUUUAUACGAGGUCUAAAUACAGAGGCCCUAAGUAUGGUACAAACAAAUUUGAUCCACCAUCUAUCAUUCAACAUUUGGAACCCUUGACUGGGGAUAUAUUUACCGCAUGAUUUGCAGAUUAUGAUUUUGAUAAGACAAUUUUCUCGUCAUUAGGGGGAGAAAAUAACAUUGUUCCAGAAGAACGAUGAGAAAAUAUCAUUCUAGAAAAAUGAUAAAAAAAGACCGUUCCAAAAGAACGAAGAGAAUUUGUCUUAUUUUGAUUCACAAAGCAAUCAAUAUGAAAAUGAAGUAAGAAUAAUUGAAUGAUGCAACGAAAGUGAUGAAAUCAUAUAUACUUGCUGCAAAUGUGCCUACAAGAAUUGAUGUCCCUGUUGGACAAAAUAAUAUGACAGUAAAUUAUUUAUCUAUUGCAUGCCUGAAGCGUGGCAUACCCUUAGACUCAAAAGGUUCAUUCAUUCGAAAGAGGAAGAAUAUGGCACUCCUAAACUAUUGGAUUCACGAAGCAUAACUGUUGCAUGUCAGAAGCAUGACAGUCGCCGCAUGGAUAUACGACAAUCCGCAGAUAUGGGAAUGUUGAUGUCUUAUGCAUGAAGCAUGAUAGACAUAUAGGUUCUAAAUGACUCAACUCCUGGAAGUAUUUUUUUAAAAUCCAAGCUCUAUAACGCUCUAGAGGAAGUUAUGAUUCGCAUUCUCUAAAUUACGACUAUCCUGGAAGAGAUAGUGUAAUGCUCUUGAAGAGGCAAUGGAUAUCCAAAGAAAUAAAAAGCUUUUAUGCAUGCGCAUGCACAUGAGAAUAUGGGAUCACGGAUUGAUGAUAACCAAUAGUAAUUUUGGUUUUUAUAAGUAGCUACUAAAUUCAUCAAUGAGUUGUGUUGAUAUUGAGUCUCGUUCUUUUUCAUCAACAAAAUUAUUGGCCAAAAAUGGAGAAAAGCAAUUCCAUUACGCUUACAUGAUAUGACAUUACUAAUUAUACUCUUGUAAACGAGUUCAUAUGAAUGGAGAAUUAUAUACGAAGGGUUGUGAGUCACCCACAUCAUAUCUCCAUAAGUAAAUCCCUCAAGUAUACAUGGGAGCAAAUUGCUUUGUAUAAAUUCCAAAGGAAAAUGUGUCAUGAAGUGUAAAAAAUCCCUGAAGGAUUCAAAUUGCUUGAAGUAAGCCCCCGAAGGUUAAAGCAUAAAUUAUGUACUCAAUACCAAUGGAUGGUAUAAAUUGCCUUAGUGAGUACUAUCAUUAUGAUAUUGUUGCAACAUACUAAAGUCUCUUACAAGAGUCAAUGACAUUAAAUUAGAACUCCUGAAGAGUUGAUGAUAUUAAAUUGGGACUCCUGAAGAGUCAAGAAAGAUUAUAAAGUGCUGAGAGAAAUAUUGUCUCAAGCUGCAGAUCGAACAAUCUACCAACACGAAUCUUAUCCAUGAUGUCUAUGAUAUUAAAAGAACCAUAUGGAUUGAAGAUUAUGAGUUGAAUACUCAAAUGAUGUAGACACUAAGAAAGAUCAUUUAUCUUCGUGAGGGUAAAGAUAAAUUAAAGUUUGGUCCAGAAGUACCACAUCUUAGUGUGAAGUAUAUGCUUUAUUGUAUUUGGCACAAUACACUGAAUGAAAUAAAGCUUAUCUAUUAAUAUUUCUGAGAAAUUACAGAUAUGUGCAUACACAUGAGUUAAAACAAAUAAACAGGAUAGAGCCUUCACAAAGGUUGCUCAUGUGAAGCCUCAGUACUCGGAAGUACCCCAUAAUGAGGAAGCACUGGAAAUUGAUCAUGUGGCACCCUAGUACUCAGCAAAACACCAGAAAGGGAAAGCAUCGGUUGCUUUCGAAAUCUAGCAACGAACCUUUGGUGAUCACUUUAAGUUCGACUUUUGGAUUCCUGCAGCUGGUCGAGCUUUCUUUUCAUGCUCGUAGAGUAAUUAUUUGCAAGCACGUGCAACACUCUAUUCUCGUGCUUGAGCCAUCUGAUCUCUUGUUUAAGACUUGCCACCUCAGCCAUCAAUGAUUCAACUUGGCGAGUUUGAACAAGUAGGCGUUGGCCCAUAUUGGAAAUAGAGCCAGCACACUGAACACUGAGAGCCAAAGAGUCUUGAACGGCCAACUCAUCAGACCGUUUUGAAAGGAUUAUGUUAUCCUUUGGAGUAAGAAGAUUCCUAGCUACCACAGUAGCGGUUAUGUUAUUCUUCAUCAUAGAGUCCCCAACUGUAAGAGGACCAUUAAAAGAUAAGAAGGACAUGCACCAUAUGUUAUCCUGACGUUGCUAGUCUGUAUCACUCCUAAGACUCAAAUCUAAGCAAAUGUUAGAUGGGCAAGCCAUUCUUAGAAAUGAUGAAGAAAAAAAAAGGUCAAAUAAAAUCUCAGAAGUGCAAGUAGGGGAAAAUUUCUACAUGCAGCAACUUUUUAAGCAUACUCUUGAACAUAAUUGAUGUCUUUAUAAAAGAAGAGGCAGUAGAGCCACUUGUUUAGAGAUCGAAGAUGCACUGCUCUCCGAAUUUCAAAAGCCAGAUUUUCCUGAAUAAAGUUCGUUGGCAUUUUCAGAUGCAAUCUCAGCUUUUUCUGUUAUCGCGUGCAACUUUGUCAAAGAUCUUUGAAAAAUUUGAAAACGCGUAAAUCUUACUGUUCUAAUUACACCACAGUUGCUAACAAGAGUAAAGGCACAACACCACUACCUGCUAUUAGGAAAUCCCUAUAUAUGUCGACCUUCAUCGUCCAUGGCAAGGCACACAUCCUAAACUCCUAACUUUUUCUCAUCUCCGAGAAUGCAUCUUCAACAAAGCAUCUCGAAAUACUCAGUUUUCUUUCUCUCUGAGAAUACCUAUUCAAACAAGUCACACCAGAGCAAGAGUCUCUCAUAUCUUCAGGGACGAGGGACGAGAGUAAGAGUAUCUCAUAUCAUGCAAUCUUUAUGUCUUUUCUUUUUUCCUUGUUCUUACCUGCAAAGAUAAGGAUAAAGAAAGCAAUAUGUCGGAACCUCCACUCAAACUCCCGGUAAGGAACUGACUACUUGGAACCUUUCCUGAUUGCUUACCUAAUAUUGCUCUCGAAUAGCCAUCUUCAACUGUUGUUGAAGCUGGGUCUCCAGUCACCAAGAAGUGAUGAACCAUCCAAAUGCAAGGGUUGCAUUCCACUCCUGCAUCAGAAGGCAAAUACUGCAGGAGAAUAUGCCACACAUGCAUGGGGAAAACCAGGGAAAACCAGGGAAAAUACUACUUAAGCAAGGGAAGCAAGUAAGGCAAAUGAAAAUGAUACAUUGAAGCAUGUGGAGACAAGCGCAACAAACACAUGUUGAUUCAUCCCCGACAAAGCCGAAGAUCAAUUGCCACGUGAAGCUUCUCACGGUACAACUUCAUUCAAGAUCAAGUUUCGAAGGUCCUUGAAGAAAUUACAAGUUCGAUUCAAGAUCAAGUGUCCACCACCUUUGAAUUAAAUUUAGCUCCAAAUAGAAGAAGUAAAUUCAGACCUUUGGAGGAAAUCUAGCAGAAGGCUCUUCAGCCCAGUUCAAGAACAAGCCUGUGGAAAGUUAAUAACAAGCAAAAUACCUCUUUCGGCAACUCUUUUUGCUAAGAAACUGAAGCAGAAUGAUUAACGAUCAGUCUAAAUGAUUUGAAAUCAUGGGGAAAUACUCAUCAGGGGGAGCAUUCAAAACAGAUCAAGAUUUUAACUAGUCAAUCGAAGACUUGUGGCCAUCCAAGGGGGAGUGUUGUAGAACAGUGGAUGUCUACUCAAAUAAUUAAAUAAUUGGCCCUUCCUUUUGGUUGCUGAAGCUUGCUACACACUACUCCCAUUUUCUAUAUAAAUACAAACCCCACACAACAUCAAAGUGGGAAGACUCACGAGAGAGAUAUGAAGAAAGAAAAAUGAGAGAAAAGAAAGGAAGAAGAAGAAAAUGAGAGGAAGACAGAAAUAAGAGGAAGAAGAUAAGAGAUAAUGGAGAGAGAUAUCUUUGUACUCAUAUUAUUUCAGAUUAUAAUGAAAGCACCACUGCUGCCCCGAGGACGUACUCCAGUCACACUGACUGUAGAGGAACAUCGUAAAUUUUGUUUCUUGUUUAUUUAUUCCACUGCACACACCGUCGAUUUUAUAACAAAAGAAACAGGCCCAAAAUUUUAGCAUGCCAGAUGAGAUUAUAAAUGUUAUUAAAAUGAGUGGCAAUAGAAUGCAGUGCAGAUUUUUAGAUGGUGAUAUUAAUCUACUGCUUUUAUCUAUGUCAAUAUUGUGGAUGCAAAUUUCUUCCUCUUUGAUCUUGAACAAAAUUUAUUCAUGCUGGAAGUCCUUUUUGGAAGGCUGCUCUAGUUAUUGAGUCAUUAGAUCUGACUAUUCUUGCCUUCUCUACUUUGAACCUCCUUACAUAGUCGCGAAGCGACUCCUUUGGGUUCUUCUUGACGUCGAACAAAUGGUCGGACUUCUUUUUGAUCGAUCGAUAUGAUGAAUAUUCUUUGGUGAAAACCAAAGAAAUUUCGUCGAAAUUCCGGAUGGAUUGUGGCAGCAGGGUGUAGAACCAAUCUUGCACCUUGCCUUGUAGAGUGGUGACGAAUAUCUUGCACAUGAGAUCAUCGUUGUUUCGAUAUAGGAUCAUUGCGCUUCGGUAAUGCUUUAAGUGUUUCUACGGGUCUUCAUCCCCUUUGAAAGAUGUGAAAUGUGGCAUGCUGAACUCGCGUGGAGGCUCUGUCUGCUCUAUUUCAUCCGUGAAGGGUGACCUGCUUAUGUUGGUCAUGUUCCAUCAUAGUGCCUUGUUGAUGACCUCGUUGCGUUGGAAAUUGCGUAAUCGUUUGGUCAAGAGUGUCUCUACUUCUUCCUGAAUUUACCUUUGUUAAGGUAAUAGGGCUCUCAGUUGCCCCCAACCGUUACUUGCUGGUCUAAGCUGCUCUUCCAUGUGUUUAGCUCGUCUAUGCCGCGGAUGCGAUGUGUGUAGCGCAUUACUAGCAGGCAAGCGAAUUCUUCACAGGCUGCCAAUUAAACUUGAGCCGGAUUGAGUGAUUGUUUCUCUCCGUCUGUCGUGCUGCCUACUCCAAUAUAAGGUGGAGGAUGCUCCUUGCAGGCUUAGCCGCGAAUAAACACUUCACCUGAAAGGUUGCUCAUGUUGACUAUCGGAGUGUGACCCCAACUGUGAAUGUAUGCUCGUCUGUGGGCCUAGUCGAUAGUGCACGCUUCUCUGCACUCUAAGAUGGGAGUAUACGCUAUCUCGAGGGCCAAAUCAUGAUUGUACACUGCCUGAACGCUCGGUUUGUGGCUGGUCGAGUGGCUGCUUACCGAGAUGCUGCUAGAGAGGUUCUUUGUCUGCCUUUGUCCUACUUCGAGACACCUCGUCUAGGGCACGUUGCAUCUCGGUGCGUUGCAAGAGCUGGUUCACCAAAGUCGUCUGCUAUGUGAGGGCGUUCGUCAACUCUAUGACUUGUCGAGAUAAGUGUUGUUCUCCAUUUGGGUUGGAAUAGCUUGGAAUGAAUGCGUCUUCUUGAGCAGUGGAAGUGUGGUAGACUCCGAACGCGAGAUUUGAGUUGGGAAAUGCCAAAUCCGUAGAAAAAUGUGGUGAAAAUGCUCUUGGUUCGAUCGUCAGUCUGGAAAUUUGAAGUCGGGAUAGUUGAACUAAUCUUGGAUCGAUUUGGGCUACUUGGAAGGCCAUAGGAGCAAACUGGGCUGUGGAAACAGGUUGGGCCACGAGAGUGGGCUGCUCGACUGGAGCAAGCUGGGCCACAGAAGUGGGUUGCUCGACUUGAGCAGGCUAGGCCACGGGAAUGGGUUGCUCGGCUUGAGCAGGCUGGGCCACGGGAGUAGGCUGUGUCACGAGAGUGGACUACUCGGCGGGAGCAGGCUGGGCUACGAAAGUGGGCUGCUCGGCGGAAACAGGCUGCUCGGAGUGUGAUACAUAUAGGUGCGAGGCUUGGGCUCGGCUUGGCAACGCGUUGAGUUCGCGUUGGGCUUGGAGUGACAUGGCUUGGGUCGUGGCCUUGGUGCCAUGAGCCUUGGAUGGCACGGCUCAGGCCGUGGUAGCGGUGUUAUGGACCUCGUUGCGAGUAGUGAUGAUCGUGGUGGCCACCGUGGUGGUUGCCAUGGUGGAGCCCCAUAGCAAUGGUGCUGCUCCUAUGAUCACAUUUAGCCUCGUGGAUCGUCGUGGUCCCAUUUCUUGAAUAUUGGAAUUUUCACUUGUGGAAUUUUCUAAAUUUCUAGCCAUUGUAUUUCUCUUUUACAUUUUAUCAAAGAAUCUUUGCAAAUAAAAAAUUCUAAUAAUAAGAACGUACGAAAAAUCUACAAAUGGACAAGAAAAUAGAAAAACCUUUUGAUGCGGGAGUCUUCUACGAGUGGGUGACUUUUUUCUCAAUGAAAACACCAAUUUAUGGAUACAAAUUUCUUCCUCCUUGAUCUUGGACACAAUUGCACCUACAAAACAAUUAACAUCUUAGGUCAAAGCCAAGAGCCUCACGCACCCACGAUGAAUGGGGGGGCUUUGGCCGAAGAACCUCUGAUGCCAAAGUUAGAAUUUAGAGAGAAAAAAUGUUUAAGAAUUCUAGAGAAUUUUAGCAAGAGUUGGAAGUCAUUUUUGGGAGAGAAUGGUGAGCUAUAUAGAGGGAUAUGGUCGGCCCUAUUAGGAGAAUAGGGAUCGGCCAUUUAGGUAUUUUUUGGGUGUAAAUUAUGGUUAAUUAGCCAUUAAUAGAUUAAUUACGUAUUAAAUCUAUUAAUUGACUAAUUUACAUAUUUUGAAAGAAAUUAUUUGGGGAAUUAUGGAAUGAUUAAGAUAAUUAGCUAAUUGAUUAGCUAAAAGAGGGAAAAUGAGGUAAAAAAUAUAUGGAAUGAAAUAGGUUUUGGGAGUUACCUUGUAAAAGGGGUUUGAUGAGAUAGGUUUUGAAUUGUUACCUAUUUUGAGCACUUUUGACUUGGUUGAGGGAUGAUUACACGUUGCUCACGCGUAGGAAUCCCGUUAUGCCUCAAAUGUAUUUUUGUCCUCUUUUGUCCAUAAAUCCACAUGUCGCCUUGUGAUUGUUUUUGCCUCCACAAAUAUCUCCUUAUGAAGAUGUUAAUGCAGUAGGAAGGAAAAUGAAGAAAUGGGAUUUUGGAGAAGAGGGUAGCUCGGGCGGAGGAGGAGAAGAGGAAGCAGAUGGAGAGCCCCGUCGGGAAGAGAUCGGGUAGCGUUUGGUUGGUUUCCCCAGUCCAGAUUAGGGAGCUGGAAAAAAAAAAUCUAUCACGUCAAGUUCAAGCCUUCACUUACCACAAAGUAUUGUGUGUAUACUAGGCAUUCAUGUGGCUUCCCUUGCUCAUCCUCUGAAAUUAAAUACAACAACAACAACAAUUCAAAAUAAUAAAUUAAAAUUUAAAAUCAAUUUUUUAAUCAGUGAGCAAACAUAGAUUUGCACAUACAAAAAGAAGAGAAACAAUGAAUAUAGAAGCACUCGUCGCCACGAUGAGGAGGUUGAAGGGAUUGGUUUUAGCUUUUCCGUUGAAAAGUUGGCUUUCUUCUUCUCCUUUUGAUUCAUAUUCUAUUAUGUGUCGGUCGCUGUUCUCCCAUUUCUUUCCUUGUUUUUUUUCCUUACUUCGACUAUUUUUUCGCCUUGGUUGUAUACUGAUCUAUUAUGUUUCUAUUUCCGUAAUAGUUUCCCUCAUCUUUGUUCAUCCAUAUUCCAAUUUUGAACCAUACAACCUGAGAUUGUGUGUAGAGCUCCGAUAUUUUCACCGGCUCGAGUGUUUCCAACACCACCACUUUCUCCUUAUAUUGCGUUAUCGGUAAUGUCAUUCGUGGAUUUCCAUGAACUUCAUCUUCAUAGCUAGCUUCUCUUGUUUAGUUGCUAGCUAUCCUUACUUUAUGGCUAUGCUCGGGAAGCAAAUUGGAGUUGGAUGUGGCGUUUGGUUAGGCGUUGCUUGGCUGUGGAAGAUGAUUUGGAUGGAUGGGGAAGAUCUAUGGUGGCAGCGAAAGUAGUAGAAGUUUCUGGUUCUGUUACUGUGUUCUGGUUUGUAGGCCUAACUCUUUCUUGGGCUCUUUUUGUGUUUUGUUUAGUUUUGGCCCGUUUUUUGUUGUUUAUAUGUUAGUUUUGGGCCAUGCCUGUAUGUAAGGUUUGUGUUUAUAAUAAAAAGUUGGGUAAAUUACAUAAAACUACCUCAAUUAUUGGAUCAUUAACAAUUUCAUAUCUCAUCUUUAAAAAGUUUCAAUGCCAUACCUUCCGUCAGUUGCUUGUCAAUUCUUCUGUAAAAUGAUGACGUGGCAUGAGGCGGGGCCCACUUUCUAUUAAAAAAAUUAAUUAAAUAUUUAAAAAGGUCGUACCCAGUGCACAAGGCUCCCGCUUUAAAUAUUUAAAAAUUAAAAAUAAAAAACCAAAACCCAAACCCAAAUCCCAUCACUCCUUCCCCCCCCCCACGAAACAUAUCCCAUAUUCCCAUCUUCCUCAUUCGUCCCCCCAUUCCAAACCCAGAACCGCACCCCAACUCCCCCGCAACCCCCCCUUUCUUCAUCCCGAGCCUCCCAACCACCUCAUUUUCCUCCACUCUCUUCACCUCUCUUCCCAUUCAAAAAAAAAAAAUCAGACAACCUUCAGCCCUCUUUAGCCUUCUUGAAGCUCGGUAUAGCAUCAAAGACAACCCUUGACAUCAGCUCGCCACCCGACAUCACAAGGUCAUCUUCACCAGCGCCGACCACUUAUCAAUAAACGAAGUCAUCGACCGCGUUUGACACAAGCUUAUCGAUCGCUGCCACUUCUCCUCUGUCGUAGUUCUAAGCCAUAAGGGUCGCUGCCACAGGAAUUGAGGCCUUGUGGAUCGAAUGAGCAGUCGGACAAUCUGGACAAUCUGGGUUUAGAUUUGUUUUUUUUUUUUUUUAAGUUUUGAAUGGGAUGGGAGGUGAAGAAAGUGGAGGAGAUGGAGGUGGUUGAGAGGCUCGAGAGGGAGAAAUGGGGGUUGCAGGGGAGGUGGGGGUAGGGUUCUGGGUUUGGAAAAUAGGACAGAUGGGGAAGAUGGGAAGGGGGAUGGGUUUCACGAGGGGGGAGAGAUGGGAUUUGGGUUUUGGUUUUUUUUUUUUUAAUUUUUUAAUAUUUAGUUAAUAUUUAUUUUAUUUUUUUAAUAAUUUUUUCUUUUUUAAUAGAAAGUGGGCCCCGCCUCAUGCCACGUUAGCAUUUAAUAGAUGAAUUGACAGACAAUUGACAGAAAGUAUGACAUUGCAACAAAUUCGAAGAUAAGGUAUGACAUUGAAACUUUAUAAAGACAAUGUAUGAAACUGUUAAUGACCCAAUAGUUGAGAUAGUUUUAUGUAAUUUACCCUAAAAAGUUACAUUUUACCAAAAAAUAAUAAUAAUAAAAGAAAUUUGAUCAUUUAUUGUAUUAUGUGUGUGUAUAUGUGUAUGUAUGUAUGUGUGUAUGUAUGUAUGUAUGUGUGUGUGUGUGUGUGUGUGUGUGUGUGUGUGUGUGUGUGUGUGUGUGUAGGUUAAGAGGCCAAUGAAAACUUGAUCUUUUUUUAAUGAAAAAUUGACUUCAGUAAGCGCAUAUCUAUGAUAAGGAUGGUAACAGUUCAGUUUGGGGACGAAAAUGUUAUAUUUAUCCUCAUAACCACAAAAAUUAAUUAUAUCUAUAACCGUAAUUAACCAUCGGAGAUUAUCCAUAACCAUACACAUCGAGAAACAAAUCGGUUAACGAUUAUAUUCAUCUUCGUCAAUAUAAAAAUAUAUUUGUUCAACACAUUAUAUAUAAUAAAUACUAAUUUCAUCAUUAAAUAUCCAUGUCCAACCAAUAAGCCAAAUAUGAUAAAUUAGUCUAAUGAAAAGAAAAAAAAAAGGAUGACAAAAGCAAAUACAACAACCACUAAAGAAGAAAGACAAAACAAAUCAUCAAAUAAUUAUGAAACUUGUGACGACAAAAUCAGAGCAAUGAAUUAAAACAUUAAUUGACACGCACCAACCCCUAUAUCCCCAAAUAUCAGGGUAGGCACGUGCUGGCCAACACCCGAGGGUGACAAAGCCAUUUUGAACAUGCAUACAAUUAAGAAUACCUAAUUAGAAUGACUUAAACCAAAGCAAAAUCAUGUUCAGGGCAUACAACUAACCAAGAAUAAUAUGAAAGAAUUAUUAUGGAAAGGUACAAACCGAGGAAUGUGUCCUACACAAAGGAGACUUAAAGAUCUCUAAGCGGAAAUGCCCUGACGCCAGGAUCGUGUGCCUUGACUCUGACUCCUGAGGGGCGCAAAACAGAAAAGGUGAGUGGACCGAGGUUUAUAAUAAUACUAGUAGUAGGAAAACCAUUUUCUUUCUAAACAUACUAACCCCCUGUUUUGAAAACAUAUAUAUAAUACUGCAUAAUAAGUUUUUCUGAAAGCUUUACAUGCCAUGCAAAGCAUUCUUAAAAAAAUGCAUAUGUAAAACAGUGCUCAGUGAUGGAUGUAUGGUAAAUCUAUAAAAACACAUUAUACUGUACUCUUUAGGGGUAUCAUAGUCGCCCGAAGGCAGUACAUGUUCAUCACCCGAAGGUGAAGCUGAAUAAAAGAGCAUACAUACAUACCGACACUAGUUGUGGCUAGUGAAGCUGUCUGACACCACUUUCGGCUGUGAAGCUAGGGGUAUAUAUAUAUCUCACUACUCCUUCACUGUGUCCUAUAGCCAUAGAUGUCAUACCCGUGGUGUGUGUAUAUGUCGUAUGAUAACCCACUAGAUAAGCACCAAAAACAUAUUUCAAAAACCUGUAUUUAAAACACCAGCUAAGCUCAAAACUCAACACCUCAUUUCAUAAACCACGAUAAUGCAUAUUCAUAAAACCCAAGUAUAUCAUUUACGAAAACCCCAUAUUUUAUGGCCUUUAGAAAAACGUAAAUUCGAUAAUUCAUAAAUAUUUCAUAAAAGCAAUUUAAAUAAAUCAUAAGUAUAUAAAUCCAUAAAACAUAAUGGGUAAAUUACACUUUCAUACCUCAAGUUUGAGAUCUAUUUCAAUUCCUUAUAACAUCUUCAAAACAUUUCACUUUCAUACCUUAAGUACUAUUUUAUUUCAAAAUAAUACCUCUGUUACAUUUUCCAUCCAUUGAUCCGUUAAGUUCUGACGUAGCUGCCACAUAUAUGUCAAAUGUCUGCCACGUGGCAAAAAAAAUUAAUUUCUUUUUAAAAAACCUGAAUUUUCUCAAAAUAAAUAAAUAAAUAAAUAAUUGAAACCCAUCCCAUCUCCCCGCAACCACCCUCACAUCCCUAAACCUGCAAGAAGAAGAAGAAGAUGAUGAUGAUGAUGAUGAUGAAGGGAAAAAACAAAAGGCCAUACCUAGUUCGUCCCCCCCCCCCACAACUUAGAAGAAGAAGAAGAAGAAGAAGAAGAAGAAGAAGAAAGAGGAGGAAAAAAAAAUUGAAACCCAUCUCCCCGCAACCACCCCCACAUCCCUAAACCUGUAACAACAACAACAAGGAAAGAAAGAAAAAAAAAAGGGCCAAACCCAGUUCGUCCCCCCCCCCCUUUUCACCCCUAAAAACCUACAACCUAGAAGAAGAAGAAAAAGAAAAAGAAAAAGAAGACGAGGAAAAAAAAAAUUUGAAACCCAUCCCAUCCCGUCUCCCCGCAACCACCCCCGCAUCCCUAAACCUGCAACAAGAACAAGAAGAAGAAGAAGAAUGAGAGAAAAAAAAAAUUAAAAAAAAGGCCAAACCCAGUUCGUCCCCCCUCCCCACCCCAAAAAACCUACAACCUAUAAGAAGAAGAGGAAAAAAAAAUUAAAAAAAAAACCAGAAAUCGUCUUCCCCGUCCACCCCCUUCUCCCAUCCAUCAUCACCCACCCCAAAAUCCCACUCGAGCCACCCAUUUCUUCCUUCCCCCAUCACCCCUCCCAAAAAUCCCCCAUCACCCACCCCCAAAAAUCCCACCAGAAAUUAGGUGGAUCUAUCAUAAAACCAGUCCAACAAUCAUCUCAAACUCAAACUCCCCAUCUCAAAGUAUUUUCGAAACUUACCCACACUGAAAAUCUAAAAAAUAUGGAGAGUCAUUGUAUGGGUGGGUUCGCGUAGUGAGGAGGGAUGGAAGGCUGGUGCGUCGCGCGGGGGGCGGGGAAAGGGGGGAGGGAGUUGGGUGGCGCACGAGAGGGGGAGGGGGGGAAGGCAGGUUCAAGCACUAUUUUUUUUCCCUCCUUCUCCUUCUUCUUCUUCUUGUUACAGGUUUAGGGAUGUAGGAGGUGCAGGUUUAAGGAUGGGUUUCAAAUUUUAUUUUAUUUAUUUAUUUUUUGAGAAAAUUCAGUUUUUUAAAAAGAAAUAAAAAAUUAUUAUUUUUGCCAUGUGGCAGACAUUUGGCAGCCACGUGGCAUAUAUGUGGCAGCCACGUCAACACUUAACGGAUUAAUGGGUGAAAAAUGUAACGGAGGUAUUAUUUUGAAAUAAAACAGUACUUAAGGUAUGAAAGUGAAAUGUUUUGAAGAUAUUGUAAGGAAUUGAAAUAGACCAUAAACCUAAGGUAUGAAAGUGUAAUUUACCCAAACAUAAUAGAAAACAUAUUCAAAUCAUGAAGUGUGAAAUGCAUGCUAGACUAAUAAUUUAUAAAAUAUGUAAGUUUAGAAGGGGUUCACUCACAUAUAUUUUGUUGCCCGAAAGCCACUCGAACUAGCAAGGAAUGCGUCGCUUCCAACCGAUACACCUAACCAUAAUUUGAGACCAUUUAGUAAAACUAUACCUAAAUAAUAGAAUUUGGGAAAUCGAACAGCGAAAUUGGAAUCAGAACGUCGAAAUUAGUCUAGGAGGGGUCUCGGCCAAAAUCUGAAAAAGUCAACCCAAAAGUCAACAUUGAUCGAAAAGUUAAUGGGUCGGGUCUGGUUCUGGGCUUGAAGGGAUGGAUCGGGUUAGGCUAAAGGGCCAAAGGUUAGGCCAAGUUUAAGGAUUGGGCUUAAGCUAAGGUUAAGGACUUGGGCCUGGGUAAAUGGGUUCAUGAAUUUAGACCUAAAUUGGGCUUGGGCUGGGUUAUAACAUUAGGCUAAUAGGUUUGAGCCUUGACAUGGACAAUAGGUUAAUAGAUUUGAGCUGACUAAUGGGUUUGGGCCAGAUUCAAUUAUUGGGUUGGGUUAGUUAUUAGGCUAGGCUAGGCUGCUUCGGGUUGGGUCUAACCCGUUAAACUCGUGGGGCAUCCGAUCCAGCGAAGAAGAAGGCUGGAAUUGGGCCAAGAAAUUUCCCAACUCCGUUUUGGGGUCAAAACUCAACAAAAAAAACAAUGAUUCAAAGAUCAUAUUGAAGCUAGAAAUCUAGAGGACAAGUUUGUAACAAAGUGGGGCCAAGUUAUCGUCGGUGUUGGCCGAAAAUCCCCUGCAAACCCGUGGUACUUGUCGAAAAACUGGAAAUGUUUCCUCCUUCGAUGCUUCUAUGUCCAACCACAUUGAUUUAGAAUAUUAACAUCCUAAUAUGGUUUUUAAUUCACGAAGGAAGAACGACAAAGGUGAACCGAGGCAUACCUUGGUUGGGAUCCAAGAAACUCGCGGGAGUACGACAAGGUGAUGUCGUUGUGCUCCCUUAUACAGAAAGAAGUCAGAUGAAGAGAGAGAGUUGAGAGAAUUUAAGGGAAACAGAGUGAUGGUGGUGAGGUCAUUGUCGCUGUCGUACAUUUGUACGUGUGUGUGUGUGGGUGGAUGGUGCUCGGGAAUGGAGAUGAGGGGAGUGUGUUGUUUCCCGGGGAGAGACAAAGAGAAAGAGAGGGAAAACGAGAAAGAAAAAAGUUCGAGAGAUUUGGGGAAGGGACCACGUGGCAAGAGAAGAAUGGAGAGUGUAGUGUAGGUGUGGGUUCCACAGCCUGAAUAAUAUUAAAAUAAUUAAAUAUCCAAUCCUAAUAUCUCGAAUAGUGGAAUGAUUAUUUUGCCCCUCCACUUCGUAGUUCAGUAAAAUCCUCAUCGGAACUCCAAAUUACAUUUCGUUUGCAUCCACACGUUCGUAAUGACGAGUACUUCAAGAAUACGCCAAGGAAACGAAUCUUAUGUGACACGACAAAAUGGUCAACAAAAGUCAACAUUUGGCCCCAUAAGGCAUUUUUUAAAAUUUACGUAUUAAUAUUAUAAAAAUUGUAAUAAUUGGGGAUGGGUCGUUACAUUAAUAAUGUUGGCUAAUCUUUGAACUCUUCCAUAAGCACCAUUGAAUUCUCAUUGGUUUUGAUUCAAAAUUUUGUACUUUCCCACAAAAUGCAACUUUUGUAAUGCUUAAGGUAAAAGGUUUAGUGAAUGUACAUAUAUAUUAUAUUAUGUAUAAGUUAUAUUAUAUCCUUAAUAAGUAUUAUUCGGAGCGGAUUCGGGAAUAGAUACUGAUCGGGGACCCUUAUAUCCAAAUCGGAAACCAUAGCCUAAUAAUAUUUCAAGUUUUCCUCCAUAUCCAAAAUAUAUUCGAAUUUCACCUCCAAAUCCGUUCUUUUUGGUUGGGCUAUCCAUGAUUAUCGGAGUUAACGAUUUGAAUUGUCAUCCCUAAUCUAUGAGGACAUAUACGAAACAAAGAGAAGCCAAGAUGACAAUGUAUCAAACUAAAUAUCUACUCAAUGUGAAAAAAAUUAAAACUCAUAAUAAUGCAUAAUAAGUUUGAAAAACUACCGUGACACUUUUGAAGAUUUUUUCCAUUGAAUUUUCUCUAGUGAACAUCAAAAGAGCACAGUUACAAGAUCAAAGAUACUGUCAUUCAGGAUAGCUUUUUUAAUGUGUCUGGAACACGAGGAAAUACGUUAACACACUGGAAAUACGUUAUAUGUCAUUAUACAUGAAGGAAAAUUAUUUUUGUCAAAUAUUUUUCAACUUAUAUAAUGACAUAUGACGUUAUCAUGGGAAUUCUCUUCUAGCAAACGGACGAACUGCAUUUGGGGCCUACCACGGUAGACUGCCCAUUACGGUGAAAAGACGUGACCCCAAAUCUUGUCCAGUCUUGUUUGAUGGGCCUCCCCAAUGUAAGAAAAGAAGACGCAUGGGGCACUAACAAUGACAGGUCUUUUAGCCCAUGUGGUGCACUUUUCACCUUAAAUCAUGAGUUUGUUCUUUCGUAUAGGUUACAAGUAAGAGAUCCGAAGCUGAAACCUCUCUUAUAUUUUGAUACGCGAAGUAUUACUAGAUUAAGAGUUAGUUGAUAAAAUCGGAUCGGUUUGGCAUUGAGAGUGAAAUUAUAUGAAAUGAGGGUGACACAAAUACAGUCACAGAAGCAAAGACAACCAUCCUUUUUAAGACCGAAGUGAUUGAGAAUCUUUGGUUCUUUCACUUUAUGACUCCUUUAUCACAUUAUUUAAAUUAAUCCAACUUAAACAAACUUAAAUGAAUGAUGGUUACAUAAGAUACCUCCUUGUCCACUAAUUUUUAAUCAAUUUAAUUAAUUAAAUUUAAUUAUAAUUAUACUAUACAACAGAUAUCUAGGAUUCCGUAUCUUCUUCUUUCCGCAACAUGGACGGCUGACAAUUGAGAGCCUUUACUUGCCCAUAUCUAUUACAAAUAGACAAGAUAUUGGUGCAAUAAUUUUAGAUGUUCCCCAUGGAUGUAGAUGUUAGAGUUGAAAAACCCACCACUUCCGCAAUCCCUCGUAGCAACUCCCCCAUGGAUGUAGAUGUUAGAGUUGAAAACCCACCACUUUCGUAAUCCCUCAUAGCAACUCCAGUGUAAAAGCCCCCAUUCCAGAUUAUUUACUAUUUAAUCCAUCCAAUGAAUAGUAACUGUUCUUAAUAAACAGUAAUUACAGUGGUAAUUACCUUUUGCAUCUCCACUCCUGUACUGAAUAGCCUGUCAAUUGGCAAUAAAAUAUUAUUAUUUUUUAUUUAUAAAAUAAUACAUAAUAAUUUUAUUUGUAAUUUCAGAUAAGAUUUUUAAUCGUUCUCGUUGCGCCACGUGUCAUUAUCCGCAAAGAUAAUUUUUCAUAAUUUUUUUUCGGAUUUUAAAGAAUUUUUUACAUUUAAAAAAAAAAAAUUUAUUCACCUAAUUAAUCUUUGCCGUUGGAUUUUUAAAAAAAAUUGAAUUCCAACACUCCAGGUUGUGCCACGUGGUACAACGGUAACAUUUCAGAAUUUUAAACUGUUUUUUUUUUAAUUUACAAAGCCUAAUAACGUGGACCGUUGAUCUUAGAUCAAACGGAUGAAAUUAAAUGAGAUUUUUAAAUGUUUUUUACCGUUGGAAAUCCAACAGUCCAUAAAAUAAGGCCGUUACAAUCGAACAAACAUGGGGAAGCUACGUGGCUUCCCCAACAGUAGCAUUUCAAAACAGGCGCCGUUGGCCCCAGCCCUGUUUUUUUGUCAGAAGACGCGAGCAUGAAACGCACGUGCCUGACGCAGCCCUCGGGUUCUCGGGCUGGCAAUCGACGCCGGGCCUGCUCCUCGGGCCUUGCCUGUCACUCGGGCUACCCAACGCUGGACCCUAUCCCCCGACAAUUUGGUCCUGUUUGAAGGCCUAGCCCUCGAGCAAACUCCCUCGCUGGAGUUGCUCUCAUGAGAGAAAAAAUUCAAGGCAUCCGUUUGCAUGAAAUUUGUGUUUAUGUUGUGGUCUAUUUUAUCUGACAGAGGGACUAGGGCCGGCGGCAAAGAGAGAGAGGAGAGAGAUGUGUGUUUGUAGAAUUGUAGGGGAAUGUGUGUGUUGUUAUCCCUCCUACAUUGUGCCUUUAUUUAUAGUAGUAAAGGGAGAGAAGAUAUUUUGUGCUUUUAUUUAUAGUAGUAAAGGGAGAGAAGAUAUUUCUUCUCCUCCAAGUAAUACAAGUUGUAAUAGGAAAGGAUAACUAGAAUCAAAUCUUAUCUAGGAUUUACACAAUCAUACUUAAACUAGGAAUGUUUACAACACUCCCCCUUGAGUGGGUAAAUACUCAAGGUAGAUUCAGCAUCAUGCAAAAGUUGAGGAAGUCGACUCGCCGGCACUGAUUCCAAGGAACAACGCUUAUUCUCAAUAAGGUAGGAACUUGCAUAAGUAGUAAGUCUCACUAAAAAACCCUAAGGCUAUGGCAAAAACCCAAGUAGGGACAAAAUCCAUAGUCUAAGGAAAAAUGUGUGAGAAAUGCAAAGUCAAAAGAAACGUCUACAGGACGUCAUCAGGGAUAUGACCAGCCCAAGGUGGGUGCCUCGUUAAAACCUAGUUAGGUAGCAAAAACCCAGUGGGAAAAAUGCUCAUAAUCGUAGGGAAAAAGAGUACAUUAAGAUCAAACAAGUAUCCAGAAGAUACUCCCCCUGAGUUUGACAUAAUUCCAAAGAGAAAUAGCAAAGUUACAACUCAGAAAGUUUACGCAUACCAAUUCCAUGAACAAGCUUCUGAAACGUCGCCUUCGGUAGUGAUUUGGUGAAGAGGUCGGCCAGAUUGUCUUGUGAUCGGAUUUGCGUGACUUCAAUCUUCUGAUGCUCUUGUUGUUAAUGUGUAAAGAAGAACUUCGGCGCAAUAUGCUUGGUGUUGUCUCCUUUGAUGUAACCCUUCUUGAGCUGUUCGAUGCAAGCUGCGUUGUCUUCAAAAAUCGUCGUCGGGGCAUUAACGGCGGGAUGAAGAUCACAGGAGCUUCGAAUAUGGCCCACUACUGCUCUCAACCAAAAGCAUUCCCGAGUUGCUUCAUGUAAGGCGAGAAUUUCAGCAUGGUUAGACGAAGUGGCAACUAAGGUCUGUUUAGUUGACCUCCAAGAUAUUGCGGUGCCUCCAACGGUAAAGACAUAACCCGUUUGAAAACGCGCCUUGUGCGGAUCAGAUAAGUCUCCAGCGUCGGCAUAACCAACAAGGCGAGAAUCAACCCGAUGAGCAUAGGGUGAGGCAUUACUCGAGGAUUCGUAGGGAUAGAAUAAGCCCAAAUCCGUAGUACCCUUAAGGUAACGGAAGAUGUCUUUCACGCCAGUCCAAUGUCUGCGUGUUGGUGCAUUGCUGUAUCUUGCCAAAAGAUUAACAGCGAAGGAGAUGUCGGGUCUAGUGCAUUGAGCUAAGUACAAUAAAGCGCCUAUCGCACUUAGAUAAGGAACUUCAGGCUCCAAAAUCUCUUCAUCAUCCUCCUUCGGACGGAAGGGAUCUCGCUUUGCAUCUAGCGUACGAACGACCAUAGGAGUACUCGAAGGCUUCGCUUUAUCCUCAUUAAAACGGCGCAACACCUUCUGGGUGUAGUUCGAUUGAUGUACUAGGAUUCCAUCCGAACAAUGCUCUAUCUCGAGACCGAGACAGUAUCGAGUCUUACCUAGAUCUUUCUUCUCAAAUUCCGACUUCAGGUGCAAAGCAGUUCUCGCGAGCUCUUCAGGAGUUCUGAUGAGAUUCAUGUCAUCGACAUAUACUGCAACAAUCGUAAAUCCGGAAUGUGACUUCUUAAUGAACACACAAGGGCAUAGUUCGUUAUUCACAUAUCCCUGACUAGUCAAAUACUCACUUAAACGGUUAUACCACAUUCUUCCGGAUUGUUUCAAACCGUAUAGUGAACGCCUCAGCCGAAUUGAGAGCGUGUUCCGGGGUUUGGAAAUAUUUGAACCAGUCAAUGUAAGUCCUUCGGGAACUUUCAUAUAAAUUUCCGUAUCAAGAUCCCCAUAGAGAUACGCGGUUACUACGUCCAUCAGCUGCAUAUCCAGUUUUUUCGGAAACUACCAAACUGAUAAGGUAUCGAAAAGUAAUCACAUCCAUAACGGGUGAGUAAGUUUCGUCAUAGUCAAUCCCGGGGCGUUGUGAGAAACCUUAUGCUACAAGACGAGCUUUGUAACGCACAAUUUCGUUCUUCUCAUUACGCUUCCGAACGAAAACCCACUUGUAGCCAACGGGCUUCACAUGUGGAGGAGUAGGAACUACAGGUCCAAACACCUUACGUUUCGCAAGUGAAUCAAGUUCGACUUGGAUUGCUUGUUUCCAGUUUGACCAAUCAGCUCUAUGUCGACAUUCAUCAACGGAACGCGGUUCAAUGUCAUCGCUCAACAUGAUCUCAGUAGCUACUGCAAAUGCUAAUGCAUCGUCGACAAUCAUCUCAUUUCUACGCCACACAUCAUCUAAGCUAGCAUAAUAGACCGAAAUCUCACGAUUCUCGGGAGGAGGAUUCGUCUCUUCAAGAACGCUUCCAUAAUCUAGAAUUUCCUCAUGAGUUGGGUAAAAUGAGUAAGCGAUAGUCAGAUUCACGGUAGGCUCUUCAGGACCUUGUGCCGUGGUUUUCCUCUUCCGGGGGUGUGAAUCCUUUGAACCAAGGGGUCUGCCAUGCUUUUGUGUAGGGGCAGAUGAUUGGCUAGCCGUUAAUGUACGUGGAUCACCAGAAUUGGCGUCCCGGGCUUCCAGGAGGGUAGUCCGUCGUACAUUUGGUACAUCCAUCUUUGCAGGCGUAUUCGCAGCUAGAAUAUGUGAUCUUGUCACGCGCGCUAGAUCGGUGAAAGCAUCUGGCAUGCUCUGAGCUAUGCUCUGGAGAUCUAAUAUGCGCUGCACUUCAGCUUCAGACUGAGCGGUGCGGGGAUCUAAAUGAGACAAAGUGGGAGUUGUCCACGAUAAUUCGCAUCGUUCAUUAGGAACGUUGACGUUCUUAUCUCCCCCUAACGACGGGAAGACUGUCUCAUAGAAGUGACAAUCCGUGAAACGAGCGGUAAACAGAUCGCCUGUCAAAGGUUCUAAGUAACGAAUAAUCGAAGGAGAAUCAUAUCCGACAUAGAUUCCCAUCCUUCGCUGAGGCCCCAUUUUUGUACAUAAGGGCGGCGAGAUCGGCACAUAGACCGCACAACCAAAAACGCGCAGAUGCGAUAUGUCGGGUUCGCAUCCGGUGACCAACUGAAGGGCACUAAAUGGUUGUGUCGCAACAGGCCUCAGGCGGACCAACUUUGCUGUGUGCAAUAUUGCAUGGCCCCAAGCAGCGAUCGGGAGCUUGGUACGUAUGACCAACGAUCGAGCAAUCAUUUGUAAACGCUUAAUGAAAGCCUAUGCCAGGCCGUUCUGGGUGUGAACAUGGGGUACAGGAUGUUCAACUUCAACCCCAACCGACAUGCAAUAGUCAUCAAAAGUUUUAGAUGUGAAUUCUCCAGCAUUAUCCAAUCGAAUAGAUUUGAUCGGAUAAUCAGGGUGGUGAGCCCUGAGCUUGAUAACCUGAGCCAACAGUUUGGAGAAUGCAGCGUUCCUUGUGGACAACAAGCACACGUGUGACCAACGUGUAGAAGCGUCAACCAAAACCAUAAAAUAUCUAAAUGGUCCGCAGGGAGGUUGAAUCGGUCCACAAAUGUCCCCCUGAAUCCGUUGUAGAAAAAUGGGAGGAUUCGAACGAAUCUUGUCAUAAGAAGGCUUAGUAAUAAGCUUUCCCAUAGAACAUGUUUGACAUGCAAUUUCAUGGAUCGAACCUAAGCUUCGGGUUAGUGGAUGCCCGUGUGAAGUUUUGAGGAUACGGCGCAUCGCUAUUCGUCCAGGAUGUCCCAAACGAUCAUGCCAAAGUGUAAUUUCGUGCGCGGUCCCUGUGGUAGGGCCGGCCACAUAGUGGCAUUCUAUGGGGCGUAUGGUCGUAGUAUACAGACCACUCGAGUUACGCUCCAUCUUCUCUAGAAUACGCUUCUGGCCAUAUUCGUAGGAAGUUACGCACAGAAAUUCAACUCCGUUUUCUAUGUGGGUUUCAGCAUGGUAAUUGUUAUCUCUAAUGUCCUUGAAACUUAGUAACGUUCUUCCGGAACGUGGAGAAUAGAGUGCCUCAGCAAUGGUCAAGAUUGUACCAUUGGACAACAUUAUACGUGCCUUACCGUAUCCUUCGAUCAGGUUGGAUGGGCUUGAGAGGGUUGUCAGAGGUGCAUUCUUAGGUACGAAGUUAGUGAAAUAGAUGCGUUCACGCAAAACAGUAUGCGUGGUUGCACUAUCUGCCAGACAACUAACUUUCCCACUAGUCAUACCUAGAAUGAAAAAUUAAUUUGAAUCGGUCACAUGCAUAAAAGUUUAUAAAAACAAGUAUCAAUUCAAAAUAAUUUCAUUUAUUCAAGGAUUAAAAACUUAAUAUCCAAAAUAAAUCGCCAACUAAUAAUCCAAAACAUAAAGGAAAAUUGUUCAAAAUCAACCAAAAAAAACAAGGUGGGGUUCGGCCACAAGGUGGAAUUCAGCCCCAAUUGUCUUAUUUUAACUGAAAAAUAAGUCUAUGUCUAAGAUUCUAAUCUUCCAUAGGAGUGGUAUCCUCCUGAAAAUCAGAAACCUCCAUCUUUGUAGUCUCCGGUUCGUCCACUUGUAGGAAGUUUGAUUCAAACUUCGUACGACGAGAAUGAUAUGCAUCCACAACCUUCUUGGGAGCACGGCAAAUACGGGACCAAUGGUCCUUGGAACCACAACGAUAGCACAUAUCGUCAUUCAUUGUGGCAGGUGCUUUGCCCUUAUUCUUGAAGUUCGGGGCCUUGGGAGCGAGGUUUGGGCGCUUCUGGGCUUUGUUUCCUCCCUUGGAUGGGCCUUGGCUCUGUUGACCUUGGUGGGAUGGCUUCUGGCCGCCCUUACCACGCCUCUUUUGGCGUUUUGGGUGCUGAUUAGUGCUAUAAUGUGCUUCAGGCACAGCAGUAGCCCCAGUAGGUCGAGCUUGAUGAUUCUUCAUCAACAGCUGGUUCUGCUUUUCAGCAAGAAGUAAAACAGAGAUCAAAUCCGAGAACUUAGUGAACUUCUGAGCUCUAUAUUGUUGCUGCAGGACAAUAUUAGAAGCAGAGAAGGUCGAGUAGGUCUUCUCCAGGAGAUCCUCUUCAGUCAAAGUUUCAUUGCAAAACUUGAGAAGUGAUCGGAUUCGACAAACUUCAGAAUUAUAUUCAUUCACAGACUUAAAGUCUUGGAAAGCGCAAGUGCUGCCAGUCGUGCCGUGUCUUGCUUCAGGCAAGAAUAUGUCCUUUUGGUGAUCGAAACGAUCAGCCAAAGCGACCCAUAAUGCACGUGGAUCCUCCUCAGCAAGGUACUCAGUUUGUAGAGCGUCAUGGAUAUGUCUUCGGAUGAAGAUCAUAGCAGUGGCUUUUUUCAGCCUCGCCAACAGGUUUAUCUGUUGCUUCUUCAAUAGCAGGACGCAAGUUCUUUGCAGUGAGGUGGAGCUUCACAUCUUGAACCCACUUGAGGUAGUUCCUUCCAGAAACCUCCAAAGCGGUGAAGUCGAGUUUGUUCAAAUUCGACAUGUUCCUAUCACAAAAUAGAUGGACAAGAUGUGGUUAGUGUAAUGGAGAAAAAUCAAUCCAUUCACAUAGGAGUAGAACAUACAGGUUCUAAUAGACAUGUAUUGGUUGAAUUUUGCAUGAAAAACUUCGGGUUUUCAUGGGUGAUAUGUUUAAGUGAAAACUUCGGGUUUUCUAACAAGGCAUGUGUAUAAGAAACUUCGGGUUUCAAAGUAAUUAUGAACUUCAGGUUCAUAUAUUCAUGCAGGCAAACACAAAUAUAUAUGCAAACAAAUAUGCAAAGAAUAUAUGCAGAAAUAUUGUAUAAUGAUAAGUGAAUUAAUUUAUUUUUUUGGUCUUCGGGGGCCAAAUUAAAGUGUGGGUGAAAAUAUAAAAACCCAUAUUAUUUAAAAGUAUUAAAUAAUAAAAUCUCGGGGCCUAAAAAUAUAGGCCGAGUACCCCCGGGUGUAGGCUGCAGGCCCACGGGGUGAGAAAGGAAUGGGCUGCUGUGUGCAGCCCUAAAAAAAAUUUUCUCCUUUUUUCGGUAUGGGCCGCUGCAGGCGAGCCCAGGAAAAUAAAAAAACAAAUUGUUUUCUUUGUGGGCUAGGCCGCUGCAAGCGAGCCCAGCAAAAAAAAAUUGUUUUUUUUUCUUUUGUUACACGGGCCGAGAGACAGAGCCCGAGUAGGGUUCGGGAAAGAGACCCAAAAGAAAUCCCAGCCGUGCUGGGUGUGCGAUGCCGAAGAAGAAAGCCGGAGUUCGUGGACGGCGCCAUGGCAUGCGGUGUGUCCAGGGUCGAGCAAGCCAUGGUUCGUCGAAGAACCAGGUGUUUGUUGAUGAAGAAGAGAUCUCAACGUCGAUGGAAGAAAAAAAAUUGAAUGAAUUCAAUUGAAUUCGAGUGAAGACCCAUGAAAUUCUUCUGGAAUUUCUAGAAAUCGUUGGUGAAAACGAUGGGUGGUGUCCAAGUUUGCACGACUGCAGGUCGUGUUGUGUUGGAAAAUCGACGGCGAGGACCUAGGCUUCAGGCCGUAGGUAGGGACAAGGUGCUUCAAACGCACCGUUUCGGUUCAAGGCUUGCGGCAUGGGUUCUCGGUUUGGGUUGGGCCAUCGCAGGCUGCGGGCCUGGUGGCUUGCGGCCUUGCAUGGUGCACAGGCACGGGUUAGACUAGAACCCUAAUUUCCCCAAUCGCAAAAUUUUUUUUUUUCAAUUCAAAUAUAUUACAUGUAUAAUUUUAAUGAAUCACAUAUUUACGUUGAUGCAUAUGCAAAUAAUAGUUUCAAUGCAUGUACAUAUGUAAGAUUCAAUUCAUGACAAAUAUCAAAUUCACAUAAUUGUAGCAAUUUUGAUGAUGAAGCAUACACAAUUUAUGUAGAAUCUAAAAUACGUUAAACGUAAAGUUGGGUCAUGCAUCAUGGUGAAUGUUCAUGCUAUCAGGGCUUGCAAAAUAUCGAGUUAAAAACCGUUGUUUGGAAAGAACCUGAUUGCGUGAUGAUAUGGAUGAACUGGUUUGAUGCAGAAAAAAUUUCCAACGUCAGAUUCCUAAGCGCAGCGGUAGGAGCGUGCUGAUAACGUGUUGUGGUCUAUUUUAUCUGACAGAGGGACUAGGGUCGGCGACAAAGAGAGAGGAGAGAGAUGUGUGUUUGUAGAAUUGUAGGGGAAUGUGUGUGUUGUUAUCCCUCCUACAUUGUGCCUUUAUUUAUAGUAGUAAAGGGAGAGAAGAUAUUUCUUCUCCUCCAAGUAAUACAAGUUGUAAUAGAAAAGGAUAACUAGAAUCAAAUCUUAUCUAGGAUUUACACAAUCAUACUUAAACUAGGAAUGUUUACAACAGUUUAAAAAUUGUUACAUCAUUUUUAAGUGUCAUAAUCACAAUUGAAUUCUGCAUCAUAUGUUUUUUUUUAGUACAAUAAUAUAUUUUACAUUAUUUAAAGAGAGAAGUUUGAUUGAACCACACAAUAAGUAACCUAAUUUGAUAUCAAAUUCAAUAUUUACGAUAUUCAAAAUUAAAAUCUCUCACUUGCAAAUAAAAGAAAAUAUCAUCGUAAUACUGAAUAGAUUACAUCAUUCGUUUUAAGUCGGUUUACCAAAAUUUGUUAUUAUGUUUGAUUUGAUGACUGGUGAAGUGAGACUAGGUUAGGUAACAAGUCUUUCUCAGUAGGGGCUUAAGAGUCAACAUACAAUGUCCCACUCGCUUUAAUUAAUAAAAAUUAUUUUGACUAUUAUCUUAUCAACACUCGUUUACGGAAAGGAAUCCUUUCUUGAUCCUUUUUCAUCUAAUUUAGAUCUGUUGAAAUUUAAUUAAACAGUUAUAAAUAGAAGAUUUCUUUAAAAGUGAUAAUAAAUAUAACUGUUAAGUUAAAUUUUAACAAUCCAGGUCCUGAAUUAAGUGGAAAGUGAUCCGCUCUCUUUCCCUCGUUUACCAUCAUAAUCCAAAUUAAGGUUACUAUUUAAUUUGGAUCUCCAAUCAUUGUGGCUUGGCUAAUAUAGAAUUCCUCGCCGAGAUGGUGGUGGUUGUUAUUGGUAAAAAAAAAAAAACAAAGAUAUUUCUAAGUAUAUACUAUUUACCAUCCUUGCUAGGCUGUUUGUGGCUACAUUUCAACACUCAAUAAUGUAUGGCAUGUUCCAAUCUUUGUUUUUGAAUUACAGCCACGUGAUGUUGUUAUUUUGUUGUAUAUUUUGGACUUAACAGACUCUUACCGAUCAUUUUACACCUUCUCAUAAUCAGUAACAUGCUCGGAAUUAUACGUAGACCGAGGUUGCCAUACCUCUCCUAGCCAUCGUGGAAACAAGACAGUCCUCAUGAAAUCACUCAUUUAAUAGAUGAUUGUCACAAGUUUAAAAAGAACACCACUCAUCCAAAAGGUUAAUGAUUUCUUUACUUACAAGUAGAGGUAACAAAUUAACUCAUUGACUCAUUAAUGAUAUCUAUUAAGACCUGCUUAAAUUUGAUAUCACCAUAACAUAAAUGUGAGAUUGGUAAUGAUGAUGAUAGUGUAAGAUGAAAUGAAAUCAAACGAUUUUUAACAUGCAUUUAUUAACAAUCCAAUGAACUAAUUUGUUACAUCUAGUUACAAGGGAGUAUUUCCACUGCUGAAAUAAGUCUAAAUUUUUAUAUUAACGUGUGUAAUUAUUUUUUAUAAAAAUACUUUAUAAAAGCAUAUGAAUAUAUCGUUCACACGUAUUAUAGUAUAUACGUGAAAAUAAUGUACCAAAUGAAAUAUUUUCCAUACACGCAAAAGGUUCUUCCAUCCUAGCCGUAUGAUUUAAGAGGGAAAGCCAUAAUGGCACAAAAAUCAUACAAAUCAACUCCAUCUCACCCGUUGAUCACCUCUCAAUCACCCCAAUCAGAAAUCCAACGGUGGAUACGCUUACAGAAAAGGGUACACUUCAGAACACACCAGAGCCAUCCCCCACCCCACGCCUAAUUAUGUAAGGCCGCCUCAAGGAGGGAGAAACGACAGAUACGUGGAAGAAAACAGGUACAGAGGGAUUGGACUUAAAUGCAUGGGAUAGACAUGACGUCUGAUCACGCCACGUGGACGGUGGAUAUCAGCCACUCUCUCUCCUCCACCGCACUAUAAAUUGAGGGUCAUGGCUUCCUAUGGUUACUCGUUCAAAACAGAGCUUGCGUUUAUCUGCUUCUUUGUCAUCAAUUCAAUCAAACUUUCCGUCGGGAAAUUUUCCGUCUCCAAUUCCAAAAAUGUCGUCGUGCUGCGGUGGUAAAUGUGGUUGCGGGUCCGGCUGCAGCUGCGGCAGUGGCUGCAACGGGUAAUCUUUCUACCUCUCUGUUUGUUUUCCGAGAAUCUGGAAAAAAGAAAAUCCCAGAAAAUUUCUGCUCUGAUUUGGGUUUUUGACUACAUGGGUUUUUGUUCAGGUGUGGGAUGGCUCCUGAUCUGAGCUACAUGGAGGGGUCCACCACUGAGACCCUCGUGAUGGGAGUUGCUCCCCAGAAGUCGUACGUAUUCUCAUCUCUCAGAAAUGAGAUCCCAAAUUAUUUUUGAAAUAUGUAAUUUGCAGAUUUUGUGGUUAUAAUUUUGGGAGACACGGAGAAACAGAAGUAGAUGGACACCAAACCGACAAUAAAAGUUUUAAAACGACAAUAAAAGGGAAAAGGACUCCGAUCCCUUCCUCCAAUUCAAAUCAGGAAAUUUAUGAUGUUGAAAUUUUUUUCUUUACUAAUUAAUGAAAUCUUUUUGUCAAUCAAAAAAUGAAAGAUAAAUUAGUUUUUUGUUACAAAAAUAUGAUGGGUAAUAAUGUAAUUUUAAAGGUUUAAAUUUUAUUAUUUUUAUUGAAAUAUUACUUGCCGAUGAUAUUAAAAUACCUUUAAUAUUAUAUAAAAAAAUAACCAAAAAAUACCUUCCCAACUCUCCCAGUUCUCUCUCUCUCCUAUUUUUUUUUAAAUGUGUUCAUACAUAUAAAUUGCAAGUAAAUAUUAGUAAUUUUUAAAGUGAGUUUCUGUUUGUAAUCGUUGAAUCUGUAAGGAUUUUCUGAUUUGAUGAUUAGGAGAAAGGGAUAUGCGGAGUGGAUUUAUUCCCAGUAAAAGGAAACAAAAUCAUGAUUUAUGUACGGUUUAUUGUCUGUUUAACAUAAGUUAAAUUUGUCUUUGUUUUGUUUUUAUUGAAACCGCGAUCGGUAUGAUUUAGGGAAGCAUGGAGAGAGAAAGCAUCAUUUAUACACUGACUUAUUGUCUGUUUCGGAGCGCUGUAACAUUUGUUUUGUAAUUUUGAUGUGCAGUCACAUGGAGGCAUCUGAGAUGGGAGUUGCUGCCGAGAACGGAUGCAAGUGUGGAGACAACUGCACCUGCAACCCCUGCAACUGCAAGUGAGAGGGACAGAUGGCACCUUCUGAUGAAGCAAGAGAAUCGCGGGGCUUAUAUGUUUAGCAGUAAUAUAUGUAUGUGUGUGUGUCGUAAUCAUGAAUCAUGAUCCAAAUUUACGAAGGUCGUGUUUUUAGAAUAAAGUGGCCAUGGCUUCUUCUGAGCUGCACGUCCUACUAGGCUGGGAUCUGGUCCUAGGUUAUGGCUGCUUGUUGUCUGUUUGCUUUGUACAUGCAGUAGUCGUAUUUGUGUUUUUAUGUUCGUGUUAACUUGGUGGAUCGUAUUAUGUGUUUCUGAUGAAAUUAAUGAAAAACUUGCUCCAUCUUUUGCUUUAAUUUUUGGGUUAAUUGACAAGGAAAACGAGUGCAAUAAGUUCCAACAACAAAAGUUUCUAAGAUGUUCUGGGGAAAUUUGGAGUACAACAUAUUUCGAUGUUUUAACCUUUUAAGAAUUUGUCAAACAUCCAACGAUUAUCGGAGAAUUUGUGUAGAAAGUCGUAUAUAUGGAGGAGAAAAACACACAAGAAGAAUUAGAUUAGAUCUGUUACUAAUCCAAACAUUUUUAAAAAGGGAUUUUAACAAAAAAAAAAAAAUGGUAUUAUUUAUUUUAACGAAAAAUUAUAUUUUUAUAAUAAAAAAUUAAUAUUAGUACUAUUUAUUUUAUUUUUUUAUUUCGUAUUUAUCGUUAACUUAAAAUUUUUAAAUUAUUUUUAUUAGUUUUUUUUUUUUUAAAAAUAUUAACCAUCUAUUUGGGAUAAUAAUUUAGCCAUUAAUAAGACUCCAAAAAAAUAAUCAUCAAAGUAUUUGGAGAACCAUCAACCCUAUCCUUUAUUUCGUUCCAUGGUUAAAAAAAAAAAAAAGAACAAAAAAGCAGGAACUAGUGGUAAGCUAUGGUUAUUAACCUUUUUUUGGUCCGAAACCGGGAUUGUAAUUUUGUUAUGUCGGUGGUUACGAUCAAGCAGAUCUAACGGCUCGAAAUAUUUCACAUUUUUUCAAAACUCACCCAUCCAAUAUUUAUUGUAUGGUUGUGGUUCAACCACAUUUUUUUGUUGGAAACUCACCCUCGAUCUAAUAUUUAUUGUAUGGUUGUGGUUCACGUUACGCUUUGGACGGGCGAUGUCUUUAUGCUGGGAGCAGCAGCUUUUGGGCACUCCACAUGUUGGUCGAAAAAGUGUCACCGUGACAUCUCAUGUUAGUGUAACAUCUCGGUGAGGACAGUUUCAAUUGUCGAACGAAAAUAUGACGAAGCAUAAGUGCCUUGCCGUAUCAAUGACUCAGCAAUAAGGCUUUGUAAAUUUCAUUCAGUUCAAGAUUGUAACAACAAAUAGAUGGAAUUCAUUAGAAAUCAUGAAUAAUCUUCGUUGCUAGUUUACAAAUCAACACAAACAGGGUCUUUUCAGUCUUUUACAAUGACACGUCCAUAAGGUUUUACUUGGGCGAGAAAUUUCCGUAGAGCUGCCUUCUCACACGGGGUUUGACCAACUUGAGGUUGGAUAGAUUAAAAACUAAAAUACAGGAGGUUUUAGAGUUGGAGUUGACGUGGUCAGACACCCCUAUCCAAAUUUCACAUUUGCUUGACCUGUGAAAUAUCUGAGCAGCUGAGUGUUGCCUUUAUUUCCUUAUCAAGUACCCCUAUCGCUGCUUUGUUAAACAGGUUGACAAUCUGUUAAAAGAAAUUAAUUAGAGCAGAUUAGUAAUCAUUCAUCAUUCAACGGGGAAGGUUGUGGUGAAACUGUCUUCUGGGAUCACCUGCUUAGUUGAGAGGCCUAUUUUCUCCAAAUCGUUCAGCUGAAACAUGCAACGUUCAACAUCACAGUUACUCAAAAACUUAGUUCCAAUUUCGCUGUACCGUUCCAAUUUUAUCGGAUAGUCCAUGAAAAAACAAAUGUAAUUCAAGUUUCAUCUGUUCCUAAACCUUAAUAAACUUGCUUACCGAUUUUAAAGGGCUCGUUUCUCUGAGCUCGAGUAUGUAUUCAGCCAUUUUGACUCCUAUUCCCUGAUUGAUGAACGCGAGGGAAAAAGAAAGUAUCAGAAGGCAAGUAAUUAUUUUAAGAACACACAAAGAUGCAGCAUUUGAUAGGAACCUUUAGCUCCAGCAGCUCUUCCCUGCGGUUGAGAAAACCAGUCGAAAUAUUAGGUUCAUUUGGUAUGAUUGAGUGAAAAAUGCAAGAAACGAAAAAACGAAGAAGCUUCAAAGAGAUGAUAAGAUUUUUACCUGUUGGCUGUGUUCAAGAAGUCAAUAUAAUCUUGAAGUAGGAACUUCUGUGCAAUAAGCGAAAGAAAAACAGAUGAAAAUCACAUUAAAAAGCUAGAACUUAACUAAUAGAGUUGUACGUAAUGAUUGUACCUUCAAGUUUGAUCCGCAAGCAGUGAAUUUAUCAAGUGGGGUGCCUGUCCUUUGGAACAUGUUUUUCGUGCAGGUCGCUAAAGAGGGAGUUUUCGGAGUCUUUGGAUCAAAGAGUAGGGUGCAAUCUCCAUUUGUGAAUAAGGGUUCACUGAGGGGAUUUUGAUUUAUAUUGGUGUUGAUCGGGGAGAGAGCUUUUCUCAAGGAACUUUGAGGUGUGUUUUUCUUCCCGCUGACGGGUGAUGAGUCGUUUGCAAAGUUUUCCUCCUGGUUUGGUGGUUCAGCUAUGCAUAUAUACAAGAAAAUAGUGCAUUUAUUCAAUUUGUUUAGAGUGUUUGAAGGAGCAUAUUAAGUAAUAAAACCAUAUAGAGCUGAAACAUACCAGGUAAACUUGUAUUUGAUUUGAGAACGGAUCCACAAGCUCCAGCAUUGCCCACUUGUUUAUUAUCCUUAGCGGCGAAUUGCAGGCUCUGGAAAGCAAUUCCAACUCAUAAAUACACAAUGACAUAAACAUCAAACGCAAGAUAAACUAAUUCGGAAUGAAUUCAGUAGCUUCUCAUCCCCAAGUGGAACUGUUAAACUCAAACUUUCAAAUAAUAUGCCAUCUCAUGAAUAUCCUAAUGUGAUGAAUAAAGUUUCACAAUAGAGUAAGAAUAAGAAUAUAUUGAAUACACUAUAACGUAGUUCUAAUUUUAUCAUUUUCCAUCCAUGUACUCCCUAAAAUUUAGUAAUUACCUCCAAAUUGGAAUCAACUAGACUUUCAUUGUCGAUUAUGUUCCUGAUAGGUCUUUUGAUUGUCCUGCAAAAAAUUUCAACAAUCAAACAAAAGUGACUAAUGCAUAGCAUGAAGGAUAUACAAUUCAACUAGUUACUUGUCAUUGUACCUUUCUUUCACAGAGCAGGCGCUUCUGUUUGUAUUAACCUUGGAUUUCAUAGAACUGAGGUUGAUGCUGGGUUUCUUGACAUUAGCAAUAGAAGAACUUGGAGAUUUCCCCAACAAGGGAGAAUUGAAUGCUUCAAUUCUUCGCACACUCUUUGUCUUUCCUCUUGAUUCAAGCCAAGUACGGAGUUUGGCUUCCAUGUCAACUUUAACCUUCGGGGUCUCUUGCUUGUGAGCUGAAGGAACAAAGUUGGUAAUGUGGCGUGACCGAGCUGCCAAGCUGACAGUAUGAACAGACUCCUGGUACUCUCCUGGAUUCUAUUAUCAAAGAAAAUUGUUUCCAAUAUAAGUUUCAAAGAAAAAAAAAAGAUAAUAAUAAGUACAGGCCAGACGAAAGCACUUCUAUUCAAACGCUAAUUCAAACUUCUUACCAAGCAAGUAAUCAUCAAAGCCUGACUCAUCCCACCUAGUGAGUCUUGCAAAAUACGAGUCAAUUUACUCUCUCUAUAGGGCACUCGGGAUAAGUUGUUGUUCAGUGCAUAAAUGACAUUUGAUAAUGCAAACAAGGACUGGUUAAUCUUCGCACUCUCUUGGAGACGGAUCCCUUCGUUGCAAGUUCUUCUAUUAUCUUCAUUACCUGCUUGAAAUACACAUGUAGAUUAAAUAAAGAAAAGACAAAGAUCAUGUACUUUAUUUAUAGGGAAAAGUUUAGGAGUGAGAAAAGACCUGCUAAAUCUAUGAGAUUCAACUUCCCAGUAACAGCAUCCCCAGAACCAUCAUCAAGAGUUGAAACGGCAAUCACAAGGACACCAUGGCUCCUACUAGACACAUCAUUGAGACCUGUAUGGGCAGUUUUCCGCCUCUGAAUCCCACAAGAAAAGGCCUCAUAAAACUCAAACAUGGACUUUACAGGGACCCGAGACAGCCCCUUAAGAUGAACCUGCCCAUCUUUGUCAUCCAAAACCGUAAUUUCCUUGGCUUUGAUCUCUAACAGGUCAUAACACCUGUCCAUAUAGACCUCGUAGUAUGAUAGCUCAACUGAGCUUCCUGUGCUCUGGCACAUAGACAGGAUUUUGGACAUGGACAGCUCCAUUAGACCCGGCAUCUCAUCCGUGCCCUGGAACAUAAAAUCCCAUGCUGGAUUAACAUUACAGAAGAAAAUGCUUCAGAACAAACACUAAAAGCUGCAUUUAGUUACUUUUAACCUAUGCUAAUUCACAAAUUUCUUUUCUUUCUGGGGAUAAUUACAGAUGAUUAUCCAGAUUAAUGAUUUAUUAAUCAUAAAAUGCCUUCACUAAUGUUUCAUAUGGGUGGUCAGACGUUGGUGUAGCCACAUUGGGUAGAGCGGAUGUGCUCCCCCUCCCCGCAGUUUAGAUUAGUUUAAAAAUUAAAAUGGAACAUCGAUUAUGUAAAAAGAAACGAAAAAAAAAAGUUCAUAUCUUUGGAGAAUUCAAAUUCAAAACUGAAUUUUUGCCAAAAGAAGUAAAAAAAAUUUCAAACCUGUAUAGUGUAAGUCUUUCCACUUCCAGUAGCUCCGUAGGCGAACACCGUCGCAUUGCAGCCAUGAAAGAGUCCCGGAAUCAAGGGGCAAACUUCUCUACUGAAGAUCCGGCCAACAUUGUUAUCCUCCGGGGCAAAGAAGGAGUCUAACCGAUAGCACUCGUUUCGGCUACACCCCGAAAAACAAAAUCAGGAGUCACCAUCAAAACCCAGCUUCCCAAAUCAAGAAAGCCAAAAUUCAUCUCCGAAUUGGCUGACAGAAAAGCAAGAAAAUUACUCACCUUGUCACUUUAUCUUUGAGAUGAACAACCACUUCCUCGGUCGCAAACUCGGAUUCUUUUUCGAUAACGGAAGCGCACGGCGUCGGAUCUCUGUUACCGUCAGCGAUCUCUUGGGGAAGAAAAGGGCGCACCCGAGCGAUCACCCUGACCUUCGAAAUUGAACUGGGGUUCGUAGAUUUUGCUGGAGUUGCAGAAGAACUGUCAAGAGCUCGACCCACCUCCAUUGGAACAAAGGAAAGAGCUUUAGCUUGGAUUUCAAGUGAGAGAGAGAAUUGGGAAUUUGCAGAACGGUCUGUAACUGAAAGAUGGAGAUUAAGAGGAGGUCUGAAACUAUUUGUCGAACGUUGGGGCUUUUUCAGUUUGAAUUUUUGGAUUGGGUGCGGACUGUGCCGUUGGGCCUCGUGUGUGGUGGGGGCCUAUUUCUUACUCCUUCGGAAUGUUUGCUGUUUAGGAUGAGAGAUUUUUUAGUAUAACCGCUAUACGGAUGGGACGUGUUAUUAUACAAAUGAUGAGAUAUAAAUUUUUGUGUUUUGACUGUCGAACGUGGUUUGUACCCAUGUUGAGUCAAGUGACAUCUAAAUGUAGGAAGCCCAUUGUCGAACGUGGUUUGUACCCAUGUUGAGUCAAGUGACAUCUAAAUGUAGGAAGCCCAUUAUUUAUGAGCAAGUAGGACAGUGUAAUUAUACAAAUGAUGAGAUAUAAAUUUUUGUAUUUUGACUGUCGAACGUGGUUUGUACCCAUGUUGAGUCAAGUGACAUCUAAAUGUAGGAAGCCCAUUAUUUAUGAGCAAGUCGGACAGUGUAAUUAUUUCGACUAACACGUACAAGAACUAGUUCUUUUUUUUUUUUUUUGGGAGGGGGUGGGGUUAGCCUUACAAAGGGUUAGUAAAUAGUGUGGUUCAAAUUCGCUUUUAGCGAGAAUUGAACCUAAGACCUUUUAUUUAUAGGUGAAGGUGAAUACCACUAGAUCGUAGUACUAAGUGGCAUCAAUAACUACUUUCUAAACAAUGAUAAAUUCUUCCCCGUUGCUUGUUGAGAUCAAAUGAGGCCCAUAGUAAGUAUGGUCGUAUUGUCUUUGCAUUAGAAGAAAGACUUUUAUGAUAUAAGUAUACACUAUCUUGACAUUUGGUGUCAAUACUAUAAAAACAUGUGUAAAUUUUUAUUUAUAGCAUCGUAUCAUUAACAUAAUUUGUUGAUAGUAUAACUAGGAUUUGGAUUUCGGAUCCAAAUUGUAGGAAUUCUAGAAAUUCUCACAUCUUAAUUGUUUAUCGUACAUCAUGCAGUCAGAAAUUAUUUUGAAUUUAUUUAUUUAAAACUAAACAUAAAUAAUAAUGAACAUUAAAUGCACAAUAUACGAUAAACGAUCAUGAUGUAAGGAUUUCUGAAAACACCACAAAAAAGAUCCGGUGGAUUCUCAUCCGUAUAACCAUGCCAUCAAGUUGCUCUCAUGAAUUUUCGAAGUAAAAAAAGCUGCUCUCAUGAAUUUGGUUUGUAUAUGGGCCCCCACCAUGGACCCACAACUUGUAAGACAAAGCCGCAUAUGACCGGCGGAGGGAAACUCUCUCCCAACCAGGCCCAAAUGGCCCCCUCGUCAGAGUUUCAAUUACCCAAACGUUUGAGGACCUGUCAGCAAGGCGGCGCAAAUAUGUGAAGGGUUUUAGACAAAGACCGUAAUUGUAUAUGCGUUAAACCCUAAACCCCCAAAAUUGUGGGAAAUCACGAAGAUGGAGAAGGGCAUGCUGUCUGCAAACUUGGAGGGUCUUCCCGAAGAAGACAAGCACAGAAUGGCCACCUUGAUCGACCAACUCCAGAUUCGCGACAGGUUUUUCUGAUUUUUUUUUUAAAUGCAGUGUUUUUUUGUAAUUUGUUCUCAGUAAUUUGUGAUUAGUGAGGCAUGUUCUUGAUACGGUGCAUGAUAGAUUGAAGUCUUAGAAAAAUACCCACAAAAUUAAAUGGUUAAUUGUUAGCAGGAAAUUUGAAACUACGAUGUGAUUCCAAUGUAAUCAAGUAUAUGUUUUGAAAUUUUGAAAACCGAACCGAACCGGAUAUAUGUCUUGGGUUUGGCUCAUGGUUUUGAUGAUGAACUGGCCCAAACCGAACUGUGCCCAUCCCUACUGAUUUCGGUUGUGUUUGUCCAAAAAAUGCAGUCUGAGGAUGUAUAAUUCAUUGGUGGAGAGAUGCUUUACCGACUGCGUAGACACCUUUUAUCGCAAAGCGCUGACGAAGCAAGAGGAUACGUGCGUUCGUAGGUGCGCUGAGAAGUUCCUCAAGCACUCGAUGCGCGUUGGCAUGAGGUUUGCAGAGCUUAAUCAAGGAGCGGCUACUCAAGAUUAAGCUAAGCUCUAUGUAUGAAUCAUUUUUUGGUAUGGAAGGUCUUGGAAAUCUUUCGAGUCGGUUUACGGAAGUUGCAAUUUGUUUAGCCUUGAUUCUAGAAUUGUGUUUCUUACACUGAUUAGAUUCGUACAUUUUCAAAAGAAAAAAAAUAUUCAUGGUGAGGUUUUACAGUUAGCUGGAACUGGAUAUGAAUUGGUUAUGAUUUAUGAUUUUGCCCUUUUAUUCGCGUAUCAUAUCUGGUGUGGUAAAUUCGUUGUGUACACGUAGACUGUGAUUGAAAGUUUAGGAGGAACGGCUCCUUGCCUCUGCAGCAUUGCAAGUGUAGAGAUUGAGAUUGUGUAGUUUUGUUCAUUGAUGAAGUCCCGACUGCGAAAAAAUGAAUAUAGGAUUUGGGAUUGAUAGACUUUGAUGCAACCCUUCAUUCUUGGUAUACAGAUCCUUCCAUUCUUCCCCUUAAUUUAGAACUUGACUUCGGUUGGCAGUGAUCUUGAUAGUGAGGCAACCAAGUGAUUUAGAUUAGAUGAGAAGAAAAUUGGUUUGUAAAAUCACCGCCUUCUGAGCCUUUUCCCCUUUCUGCUAAGGAUGAUAAAGAUUACGAUGUGACUGUGAAAGUAUCUCAAGGACUAGAAAAGGAAAACUCGAAGGGAGAUUACCUAACAGUGAAUGAAGAAGUUGCCAGUUGGUCUCCCGGGCAUGGAGGUCCCUGCUUGAACUUGAUGAGCAAUUAGGCAGAAAUGUGAGCAAGCAGAUGCAGGGGAUUGAAUUGAACAUGCUGUGAUGCAGGCAAUUUUUUGCUUCGAUGAUUGUUUUGGAAUGCAGUUUUCUAGUGCUUGUUAUUUGGGAUUCAAUCAUGUAUAUUUUUACGUUGAGUUGUGUUAUUGAAGGAAGGAUGAAGGUUGUUCUUGGUAAAGAUUCCAUGAUGCUUUGUGGGGAAGUUGUUGGAUAUAAAGAUGUCAAAUGCUAGGUUUGAAGUUCUCUUGCUCACUAGUGGUUUUUGGUAUUUUAAAAACUCAUUAAAAACCCAACUGAAUACUUUGUUAAAAAAAAAAAAGAAAAAAAAAAGAAAAAGCUUAGAAAAGCACUUCUAUUUAAAAAGCACAUUUAAAGCCCUUUCAAAUUUUUGUUAAACACUUCUAGUCUUGAAGGCCUCUUUGAUGUCUAGCGUUUAGCUUGUAUAAGGUAAAUCAUCAGAUUGAGUGAAUACCGAAUGAAGAAUUAGAUGUCCACUUGCAUUUUUUUGUCAAAAUGAAGGUAGAAUAUGGAUUAGCUAUGACAAAAACUUAUU
This 60752-nucleotide long non-coding RNA is filed under the name Malus domestica (apple). Its description in RNAcentral is "long non-coding RNA (MDOM_LNC011489)". Lineage: Eukaryota; Viridiplantae; Streptophyta; Magnoliopsida; Rosales; Rosaceae. The record is from RNAcentral.